CAUGUUACAGCCUCAUACAAAGCUCAAGGAGUUCACUCUCAAGAGUUAUGCCGGAAAGGAAUUUUCAUCAUGGGUUGGAGGUUCUUUCUUCUCUAAUAUGGUGCUUGUGCGCUUAGAGGAAUGUAACAAUUGUUUAUCGUUGCCACCUCUCGGACAAUUGCCUCGUCUCAAAGAGCUUUAUAUUAGAGAAAUGAAUGCAGUCGAAAGUGUUGGUGCUGAGUUUUAUGGUGAGUGUGUCUUGCCCUUUCCGCUGUUAGAGAUUCUGGAGUUUGUGGAUAUGCGGCAUUGGAAGGUGUGGCUUCCUUUCCAACUGGAUCAAGGAAGUAGUGUUUUCCCUUGCCUGAAAAGGCUUUCAAUCAAAGGAUGUUCUAAGUUGGAAGGCAAGCUGCCAGAGAAGCUCGAUUUGUUAGCCGAACUUGAAAUUGUUAAAUGUGAGGAAUUGGUGGUUUCGAUUGCCAAUUGCAAACAACUUCGUCAAAUAAACAUUGACAGUUGUAAAGUGUUGGUACAUACAGAUGCUAAGGUUGAGUUUGAGUUGUUAGAGUCCUUGUGCCUUUCAAACAUUUCGGAGGUGAUGUCUCUGCAAACAGGGGAAUUGUUCAGGAAGGGAUUAAGCAAGGCUAGAGAUUUGAAGAUUAAUGGAUGUGAGAAGCUGACGUCGUCAUUGAAGAAUGAGGGUAGAUUAUUGCAGCAGUUGACUUGUCUUGGCCGUUUGGAAAUUGAAGACAACUCUCCUCUAGUUGAAGAAUUGGGAGAAGAAGCAGAGGAGUUGCUGCAAUUGCAAAUAUUGGAGUUAAAAAAGUGCGAAAAUCUUUUGAAGCUACCAAAAGGAUUAAAUGAGCUGUCGUCUCUUCAAGAGCUUCGCAUACACAAAUGUUCACGUCUAGUUUCUUUUCCAGAAGUUGGUCUGCCACCGUCUCUUAAAAACAUCGAGAUUAGAGAGUGCCAUUCGUUGAUAUAUUUUGCAAAAUUCCAGAUUCCCCAAUUUCUCAGAAGAAUAGAGAUAAGUAAUUGCAGAAGUUUGAAAUCACUAGUAGAACCGAACGGGUUAUUCAGCGACAACACCAAUCACUGCCUUGAAUAUAUUAGGAUCUGGAAUUGCCAAAAUCUGGAAUCCUUACCGGAUGGCUUAUGCCACCUUAGCAAUCUUCAAACUCUAAUUAUUGGGAACUGUGGAAGUCUUGUUUCCAUCCCGAGACUGAGUGCGGAGAGAAGACCCUCCAACCUGAGAGAUAUCAUGAUCAACGAAUGCGAGAAAUUGGAGGCGUUUCCCGAAGACAUGCACAAUCUCAACUCUCUUGAGGGAUUGAAGAUCGACUACCGUAAAGGUUUGACUUUUCCUCCCAACCUAACAUCACUUGAAAUUUGGAAGGUCAAGAGCUGUAAGUCAUUGUGGGAGUUGGAGUGGGGGUUGCACAGACUCACCUCUCUUAGAAAGUUGGGGAUCAGUGGAAAAAACACACGUACGGUGUCGUUUCCACCUGACAUAGUCCGGAUGGAGCCGCUCCUCCCCAAAUCUCUCACUGAACUCAGAAUAGAAGGCUUCCCGAAUCUGAAGAGACUGAGCAGCAAGGGCUUUCAAUUCCUCAACUCCCUUCAAUCUCUGCAACUCUCUAGAUGUCCAAAGCUAGCAUUCAUUCCAGAGGAGGGUCUGCCUCCUUCACUUGGUCAGCUUAUCAUCUAUAAGUGUCCUGUGCUAAAAGUGAGAUGCCAACCAGGAAAAGGACUCUACUGGCACAAAAUAUCCAACAUCCCUAAAAUAGAGAUACAUGAAGCUAAUGGUCCAGGUAUCAUCUCUCGAGGAAUGUUUUAAUAUUAAUAUUAUUAUUAUUAUUAUUAUUAUUAAUCAUGUUUAUUCUUGUAAAGUAAUCCACAAUAUUUGGUUUGGGUCAAGGUUUUGGGGGUUGAGGAGUGGCUGCUUUAGGAGGCCUUCAAUUGGCGACAACCUGGAUACUUCUCGGCCAACGUUUCUUCUCCCGGAUUCCUAUGUUUGCUGAUAGCACUACCCUUUCAAAUUUUAUUAGGUCGAGCUUUUUUCAAUUUUCAAAUUUAAACAUUUUUUUGGGUCAACAGUCCAAUAAUUCGAACUUGUUUUAUCUUUCAUUAAGAUAAUUCUACCAAAAACCUGACCUCAUUUUGUAUCAAGCUUGAGCUUUUAUGAAAUCAUUUGAGUCAAACUUGAGCACAUAUUUACGAGCUUUAUUUGGGACUGACCGAAUUUGAAUCUUGAGCAAUGUUUGUUAAACCAAGGUCAUUUAAUUACGAUCUGAGUUAUUAAUAAGUUGUGUUGUUUUGUGUUGGGUUAGUGGGUCUUGCAAGACAUUGCUUGAUGUUUAAAUUUGACAAACAAUAUUUUAUCAAGUUCUUGAUUCUACAAGUAUCCAACUCGUUAAAAGGUUCUUAAUGAGCAGCUUGAUAACGAAUCGACUUGUUAACAUAUUAACUCGAAACCUGCUAUUUUUAUGUUGUUUUAUAUCGAAUUAACGGGUCGUGUAAAAAAUUAUCAAACCUAACCGGAUCAUGCCAAACUAUUGAUGGUCAAUGACUUAUUUGAAAGUGAUUUUAAAGUGACUGAAAUUGAUUUCAGAUUCCAAAAACACUUUUUAAGUGCUUUUUGGAAUAAUCUUGGGCGUCUCCACCCAUUGCCAAUUGGUUUCGGGUUGGAUGCUCAAUUUGUAAUUAGAAUAACAGGUAUUGUUGUUUUUUUUUAUUAUCUUUCAUUGUUUGAGUGGGGGAUAUAAUCUUUAUACAAAUUGCUUCCUCAUGGUUUUUAUGACUGGUUUCUGUAUCUACUUUUAAUGCUUAGUACAUUAAGGGCAUCGGGUACUUCCUAAGUUCUCAUGGUCAAGUGUUUGUAUGGUUCUGUAUGUAUGUUUGUGAUCUUCAUCCCGACUUUGAAUGCGUAAACUAGAUGGAUGAAGAGGUUUUGUUGUUAUUGCCUUGCCCAACACAAGGAUUUCUUUAAGGGCUAAAUAGAUUUCUUUUAACUGGGUUCUUAUGUCUUCGACGAAGGUUAGAGUUCUUUAUCCUUUUUGGUAUUUCAGUCAAUUGGUGUAUCUUUCGACAUCUGUGCUAAGUGCUUCGUGAAAAUUGAUAUAUGUUGUCUAAAUGGUUGUGUUUCAGUUGCCUUUUCUGAGCUUCUUCCUUCCUGUCUGAUAUCUAUUUUCUAUCCUUCGUCAUAGGAUAUUAGCUCCAUGGUGUGCUGGUUGCUUUAUGUUUGUAUAUUCUCGUGUUUUUUCAUUACAGUGUUGAACUCAGUGAAAUGCUAGUAUGAAUUGGAGUGGUUCCCAUUGUCUUUGAGUGAUUCCUAUCACAACAAUCAGGGAGGAAAUCCCUCUCUUUUUUUCACUCUAGGACUAUCCAAAAGAUGCAGCACUGAAGAAGAGUUAGGACUUUAACUCAGUGUCGCAAAAACCUACUACCAAGAGAAAGUUUGUAAGCACUUAUGUUCCGACUCAGAUCCUUACCAAAGUUUUUUUGAAAGUUGAAAUGAUAUAGCACUAGGCCCAAGGUUGAGAGCAGGUUAGAAUUGUUAGAUUGGUGUUUGGCAUGUAAAGACUAGUGGUAUGAUAUUGGGGUACGUUUUUAGGUAUAUGGGGCCAGUACCUGUAAGCUUGAAGACAACCUAAAUAUGCCCGGGAUGUAACAGAGUGCUUGCCUAUACUUCUGUUUUUGUAGUUAAGAGAACGUAAUUGCUUAGCAAUCAUUAAAUUUGUAUACUUAUUACUUGGGUGCCCUCUGCCUUGCUAUGCUGCAUAACAAUGAGAAUAUAUUACGGAAUUCUAACAGGAAAAAGGCAGGGGACUCCCAAAAUUUGGUGAAUGGGACGUCAAUGAUCCUGCUUCGGCUGAGGGGUUUACUGUGAUCUUUAACAAGGCUAGGGAUGAGAAGAAGACAGGUGGAAAACCCGAGUCACCAGGAAAGGUUGAUCCUAAUAUCAGGCAUGGAGGAGGAGUGGAUCCUGGCACUAGCAGGCCUUCGUCUGUAAGAUUUUUUCUCAUAACUGUUGUCGUUUCUUUCUCUAAUGAUUUGAUAUAUACAUGGGUCAGCCAAUAGAAAUACAUUCUUUGCGGUUUUCUUAGUUGCAAGUUAUUGCUUUUCAAGUGACGUUGGUAGUACAAAAUACAACUAUAUGUAACACUGACUUAUCGAUCAAACUCAGCAUACCAUUUGAUGUGAAAAUCAAUGCAACUGACUUAUAUAGAACUCUAGUAAGGAAAUGUGGCAAAAGACAUAUCUAAUGUUAGGGCCAAGAUAUUUGAAAAAUAAAAGAGCACAAGAUGAUUCGGCUGUUUUAUCUGGAUUAUUCCAUGCAAGUGGAAUUGGCAUACAUUAACUCGGGUUCUGUCUCCUUUUAGACAGAUGUAGCCUAAUAGGAAUAUUUGUUUGUUUUAUUGUGAAUAAUUGAAAGAACCAAUGGCCCUGGAAAUAUUUGCUUUUGUCAAUUGAUCAUUGUGUGACCUUUUCGUUUUUUCUAUGCGUUUUCUGUACCUGCUGCGUUUCCAAUAGUAGACUAAUAGAAUGAAUAACUGGAGGUGAUUAUUUCUGCUGCCAAAAUCUAAUAUGCUUAAAUUCCUCACUCUUUGCGGAUGAUUUGAUUUGGUUUGAUUUCCUGAUGCACAGAAAAAAUGGUUUUGCUGCAUUCAUCAACCACCGGCAGAGUUUUGACAAUGUUGUUCUCCUAAGUGCUUCGAUGGAGGAGCACGAUGUUCUGUAACUGGCUCCACUAUAUUUCCUCACUUAAUCUAUGUCUAUGAAAUUGGCAGCUAGGGAAGUGAAGUUUGAAGCAAUGGUUAGCAGUUUGCCUAAGGAAAUCGUACAUGAUAUCCUUUUGAGACUACCUCCUAAAGCUUUGAUCAGAUGCACCUCGGUGUCCAAGCCUUGGAACUCCAUGAUAAAAAGUCCAAGCUUUAUUCGCACCCACCUCAGCCUUACCAUCGAUUUUAACCAGUUUGGCACCCACCAACUCCUUCUGCAUUGUGUUCGUGGAGACAAUCCAGUGGAGCAGAAUUACUAUUUGCAUUAUGAUAACCAUGCUUUUGAUGAGUACUGCAAGCUAGAGUAUCCAAGUGUUCCCAAGCGCAAUAGAUUUCUUCGUGUGGUCGGAAUGCGAGGAUCCGAAUGCUUUUUAUGAGGCUUAUUCACUUGCUAGAGGCUUGUGGAGUAGUCCUCGUUCUUUUGAUCCCGUUUGUAAAGUUUUAUUCUUGCAAAUUUCAGGCUUUUGUGAACGGGGCAGUUCAUUGGCUGGCAUGGCGCUGCUUGAACGAUGGUCGUUAUCAAAAUUUCAUUUUAGCAAUUGAUGUGGACGGUGAGUUAUUUUGCGAGAUAAGGGUGCUAAAGAGUUUCAGACAGGAUGAACCAUUAGAUUAUCACUUGUCUGUUUCAGGUGAUGGAAACUCCAUUGCUAUGUUCACGACGACGCGUGGUCGUAAUUGUCCUGAGGAUUUUCUUGACAUAUGGGUGAUGAAAGAGUAUGGCAUCGAGGAUUCAUGGGCCAAACUGAUAACUCUCCACCGUAUCCGGAAACAAGGGUGCCCUACAAGCCCUUAUGUUUUAGGAACAGUGGUGAAGUGGUGUCCUGACUUUAUCACUUGUUCUAGAAAAAAACGUCGCAUGUACUGGGAUUUUCUCCGGGAUGCCUUGUGAUAUUCUGACAUUGCUGGAUUCUUGUUAGAGAUGAACAUUUUUCCUUCUGUUUGUCUGUUAAUUUACAGACCUAGAAGAAGUUGCUUAUCACAUGUUGCCAAUGUUCAUGGAUAUAUACAGUUAUAUUAAUUUCCUUGAAAUUUCUUGUGACAUUUUUUUAGCUCUAAUAAGAUUUAUCUCUCGUCACAAGACUUUUACAAUAACUUGUGCUCCUAUGGUCUACCAAAAUAAUAAUAUUGCAGUAGAGACUAGUAGUCUAUUAUUAAUUGUGUGUUCAACUUAAAGCAGCGAGAAAAAUGUGUACCUUUUUCUUUUCUUUUUUUUCAAAGAAUUUUUUAUCUUUUUCCUCUGGGAGGAGGAUUGUCUGCCCUCCUAGUUUCAGUGCCCUUCCAUGCCAUCUUGAUUGUGUGGUCAUGGUUAAGCCACGUUAAUAUUUUAUAUUACUAUUUAUUUUUGUCUUAUUAUAUCUAUAAAAAAACAAUAUAAAAUAAUGAUGUGGCUUAACCGUGACCACACAAAACAGGAGGGCAUGGAAGAGCAUUGAAACUAGGAGGGCAGACAAUCCUCCUCCCUUCCUCUGACCCUUGCAUGCAGGUUUGGCAGUAAAGUAAGAGUUUCCACGCAAUUAAAAUAAUGGCAAACUAGUCUUUCGGUUUUGCACGAAGAUAGGAUAAUUUAUACUAAAUUAUUUUUUUGUCUUUUAUUAAAGAAUCAUUUAAAAAAAAAAGUUUUUAAGUGUUUGGGAUCUUUUAAAUACCAAUUUCAAUACAGCUAUUAGUUCAAGUAACAUAAUUUUUAGUUUAGGUACCAAUGAAAAAAUCAACUAAAAUAAUUCUAUAAAUACUAUUAUAAUUCAAAAUAAUUAUAUGAUUGCCGUGUUUUCCGACCAGCCAACUGUAUUCGCAACCACCUCACCCUUACAAUCAAUCUUAAUAACCAGGUUUCGACUAACCUCCUUGUACUGCAUUGUAAACGCAUACAUGAGCCAAGGGAGGAGCAUUACUAUUUUUGCAUUAUGAUAAAUAACCAUGAUUUUGAUGGGUAAUGUAGACUAGAAUUUCCAAUCAUUCCGAAGGGAGAAUGGUUCAAUAUGACCUAUAGACUACAAGAACUCAAAUUCCUUAUUUGUUAUCUUCUGUAAACCAUUCAUCAGAGCUCUUGACAGGCAGUGACCAUAUUUGAGGAAUGACUAGACGCAUGUUGGGGCGCCAUCAUGACUUCAUGGGUGAACAAUAGAAUUUCGUGUGUAAGUUUCUCUCCACAUACAUCGUGUUAACUUUGUUUUUCUAGUUUCCUAGCAUGUUCCAGUUCGUGCAUUUUCAGUUUUUGGAUAGUGGAAAGGUCAAGUUGGUAGCAAAUUGACACGGCGAAGACGUAAGUCUAAAAUUCAUUGUCACUAAUUCAAUUUACCAAGCUUAAUUGGCCUCUCUUAACCUACAAAAUUGUCAUAAUAAACUAGUAAUUUCACUUCAUGAAAAUCUUGCUCAAUGUUGUUUGACUUGUUUCCCUUCCUAAACAUCGAGAUGUUCGUUAAUUAUAUGCUAAUAAGUUCAUCUUCAAAUGGAUCAUAAAUUAAUAUAGCUAUGUGACUAAUUAAGUAGUAUAACUCCAAAAUGGUAAAGCAUAAUCCAUGAUAAUUUUGGUAAAUCUGGUGUCGGCAGGAUCAUGUUCAUCUUCUUCGUGUUGUGUGGCUCAGGUUGUUUAAGAGUUUUUUACUAUUUUAAAUUGAUUCUCUAUAUUAUCUACAAUGGCCUACAAAAAACUGAACCAAACACCCCCACAAAGGAAAGGGGUCCUUUUCAGAUCCUUUCGACCUAAUUAUCUUCAUCAAAUAAUCCGUGUUCUUAAAAUUUGAUUCAACAACUAAAAACACGGAUCUAUUUUAAAAAUUAUAAUAACUUUAGUUGUUGAAUCAGAUUUCAAGAACCUUAAUAAAGAAGAUUAGGUAAAAGGAAUCAAGAAAUGAUCCCUUUCGAUCACAAAAUAAUAUAAUCGGUGUUGAAAGGAAUGUAGCUCAGUUGUUUACCAGCAGUCACUCAUAACGUUUGGUUCCCCCCCAAAAUCGGUGUUGAAAUGAUCCCUUUCUCUCACACUCUUUUUUUUUUACUUCUCACAUACCUCUUGUUAACUUCUGUCAUUUGAUCUACUUCCAUUUAUCCGAUCCAACGGUCAAAAAUUAAAAGGGUGUGUGAGAGGUAAAAAUUGGUGUAUAGAUAUCACACCCUUUUACUAAAUCCUAAAUUGUACAACUCCUUCAAAUAUAUCAAGGACGAAUAUGGUAUCUUCUACAAACCAUCCAGUAGAGCUCUCAGCAUGCAAUGACCAUAUUUAGGGAAUGGACUAGACACAUGUUGGGGCAUUAUCAUGACAUCAUGGGUUAACAAUACAAUUUGUGUUUAGUCUCUCUUCACAUACAUUACGUUAACUUAGUUUUUCUACUUUCUUAGCAUGUUCGGGUUCGUGCAUUUUCACCUUUUGGGUAGUGGAAAGGUCAAGUUGUUGGGAGACUUAUUAGUAAAAAGCAAAUUCACACGGCAAGACAUAAAUCUAAAAUUACUUGUCACUAAUUCAAUUCCACUGAAUUUAAUUCUUCUCUCUUAAUCUUCAAAAUUAACAUAAUAAGCUAGUAAAUUUCACUUCAUGAAAAUCUUGCUCAAUGUUGUUUGACUUGUUUCCUUUCUUUAACAGCUAGAUGUCCAUUAAUUAUAUGCUAAUAAAACUUGCUCUUCAUCUUCAAUUGAUCUAAUAUAGCUUUGUGACUAAUUAAGUAGUAUAACUACAAGAUGGUAAACAAUAAUCCAUGGUAACUUUUUGCAGGAUUAUUUUCUACUUCUUUGUGUUGUGUGGCUCAGGCUGUUUGAGAGUCUCAACAUUAUCUACCAUGGCCUAUAAAAUUGAACCAAUCACCAUCUCAAAAUAAAAUAAUCGGUAUUGCAAGGAAAUGCAACUCGGUUGUUUACGAGCAAUCACUCUUCCACCCUGAGUUGCGUGUUUGGUUCCUCAUCUCCCAAAAUCGUUCGUAUAAAGGAAAAGAAAAGUAUAACCGUGUGGGACAUAGGAGAUAAGAAAGCAAUUAAAAAGAUAAAACAGCAUGAUCAUGACCCCACAAAAAAAUAAAGAGAAAGUAAAAAGAGGAAGACUUGCUGUGGUCUUUCAACACCUAAUCCUCAUUGCAAAUUGAAGAGCUCUAAAGUGGUCUGGAUCUGUUGAUUUUCAUAAUCUAUGGAAAACAAGUCCCUUCAUCUUCAUCAUCAUCUGAAAACUUGAACGCAGUAAGUUCCUCUUGCAACUAUAUAUGCGGAAUCCAUUAUUUAUAAAUUAAUUAUUUCAUUUUUCUUCAAGAUUGUAUGCUUAAUUAAUUAUUUCAUCGAUAACCAGCUAUAUAAUUUGUUCAGUUUUCAGCCUUAAUUAUUCCAUCAUUCAGUUUGGAUUUAUUGAUCAUCAGUGCAAACAAGCGCCCUCAUGACCUGACAGACUUCCAUGAAACUGCUUCUUGCUACAGAUCUUGUCCAAUAUCCGUGCAGAUUUCGAGUCUUGAAACGUAGGAUUGCAAGGUAAUCCCAAAACUGCCCCAUUUUAUUUGUUCAACAUGUUAAAAUUUAAGAAAAAUGAUGCAUUGCUUACUAGCAUGAUUUUUUCAAUCUUGAGUUUUUAUGGUGUGUUUUAUUGUGCCUUAUCAUUGAGUAAUAUUAUGGUGUACGUGUUUUUCUUUUGACAAACGAUAACGUUAGUAGGUUAAAUUGUUAGUCCCGUACUGGAACACCAACCAGGUUACCCAAAAAAUGAUUCACACACCCAUCUUUAUUCUAUAACUUAAUUCCAUGCUUGUCCCUCGAUACUCGUGAGCGAAAGGGAGGGUCCAAGCGGAUAUGAAAAUGAUCUAUUACUCCAAAGUCUACUUCAUAUGGCCAAUUAUUAGGUGUGUGAUCCUCAUCAUCAACUAUACUUUUUAUAAGGAAUAUCAUUCAUAACCCAGCUAUAAGCAUGCCGAUAUCGUUGAAAGCAUUAAAACAAUGAAAAAUAUGAAGUCUUACCCAGUGGCAGAUCGAAGAUUUUAAUAUCGGUGGUCCUAAUAUAAAGGCCCUAAAAAAUAUUAAGCGAAAAAUAAUAUUGAAAAUUAAAUGCUAGACUACAAUUUUUCAUUCAUAAUUUUUGUACAAACAACAUUACAAGCUACAAAGUACAAAGACUUAUUUGUCAACGAUGAGGUAUGCGUAAUAUCGUUCCAUACUUCUAAUUUCUACACAUAUCAAUUACUCAAAACAAAAAAAAAACAUAUUAAUUGAUGAAGCUAAAAGAAAAAAAAUACCUAUAACUAUUAUGAAUUUAACAUUCUACAACAACAACAACAACAACAACAAAGCCUUUUCCCACUAAGUGGGGUCGGCUAUAUGAAUCCUAGAACGCCAUUGCGCUCGGUUUUGUGUCAUGUCCUCCGUUAGAUCCAAGUACUCUAAGUCUUUUCUUAGAGUCUCUUCCAAAGUUGUCCUAGGUCUUCCUCUACCCCUUCGGCCCUGAACCUCUGUCCCGUAGUCACAUCUUCGAACCGGAGCGUCAGUCGGCCUUCUUUGCACAUGUUCAAAAUCACCGGAGCCGAUUUUCUCUCAUCUUUCCUACAAUUUCGGCUACUCCUACUUUACCUCGGAUAUCCUCAUUCCCAAUCUUAUCCUUUCUCGUGUGCCCACACAUCCCACGAAGCAUCCUCAUCUCCGCUACACCCAUUUUGUGUACGUGUUGAUGCUUCACCACCCAACAUUCUAUGCCAUACAACAUCGCUAGCCUUAUUGCCGUCCUAUAAAAUUUUCCCUUGAGCUUCAGUGGCCUACGACGGUCACACAACACGCCGGAUGCACUCUUUCCAUCCAGCUCGUAUUCUAUGGUUGAGAUCUCCAUCUAAUUCUCCGUUCUCUUGCAAGAUAGAUCCUAGGUAGCGAAAAACGAUCGCUUUUUGUGAUCUUCGCUAGAUUGCUCCGGUCAUUAGUGUGGAUAAGUAUAUAAAUGGAUAGAGAUAGGAAAGCAAACACAAGAUGUACGUGGUUCACCCAGAUUGGCUACGUCCACGGAAUAGAAGAGUUCUCAUUAAUUGUGAAGGGUUUACACAAGUACAUAGGUUCAAGCUCUCAUUUAGUGAGUACAAGUGAAUGAUUUAGUACAAAUGACAUUAGGAAAUAUUGUGGGAGAAUGAUCUCGUAAUCACGAAACUUCUAAGUAUCGGAGUGUGGUGUCGUCUUGACUUGCCUUAUCUAUCUCAUAGGUAGAUGUGGCAUCUUCUCUGGAAGUACUCUUCCUCCAUCCAGGGGUGGUAUCUUUAACUGGUGGAGAUGCACAAGGUAAUGUAUCAAUUUCACUUGAAGCUUACUUGUAGUUUCAGGCUUGGUCAAGCGCGAUACAAACCAUGUAGUAGGAGUCCCCCAAGUCGCCGAGCUAGGGGGUCUGCUGAAAGAGGUGACAGACAAGGUAAGCAAUCAGAGCUCCGACUGAUUGUUCACCUUCUCCCCAUCUUGCAGCAGCAUGAAGGAUAAAGAGAAGAAAAAUGAGAAGAGAUGAUAUGAGAUACUUUUGCUUUUGAAGAAGUAACUUUCCACAGGCUUAUUCUUGAACUGAGCUGGAGGGUUUUCUGGUUUCCUCCAGAGUAUAAGGCCGACUGAAGAAUUUGAGGGUCAAAACAAGUCCAUCAAAUCUAGAGUACGUUCCACCCUGCUGAUAUGGGAUACUUUUGCUUUUGACAGAGUAAUGAAUGUAUCGACCCGUGUGCUGUUACGCUUGUCUCCACAUGCUUCCUUGUAUCCUUCGCACUUGCCCUAUCUGUUCCUCAAGCAGAUGCGGAAUCUUCCCUGGAAACAUAAGAUGUUGAAGAUGAGUACUCGAGAGCAAUGCCAGGUAAGUAAUCAGGUAAGGGGUUCCAGGCAGUCAGUUCCUGGCUGGAAGCUUGAUUCCAAGUGCUGACUGAUUGCUCUCUUUCUCCUUGUCUUGCAGGUAAAAAACAAGGCCAAAAGAAAAGACAGGGAAAAAGCAUGAUAUGGGAUACUCUUGCUUUUAACCCUGAUGAUAUGAGAUAUUCUUGCUCUAGUAUAGCUUGUUUGCAGAGGUAUUAUCGGGGGGAAAGAAAGCUGAAAUAUUUCGAAAGGCUUCGUUGGGAGUGCCCUCUCAAAUAUGAUGAAGGGUUGAGCAUUUUUGCAGGUCUGCCUGUCCGUUGGGGAUGGAGGUCGACAUAUAUAGGAGUCUCCCUAACAACAAGUAGUAAUGCUAUUCCUUUACCCUGCUUGGUCAUAGCACGGUAGUGGGAGCUGCCAGUUUCACAUGUUUUAACUCUGUCAGAGCACUUUGAAAAAGUGGUCUGUGGUAUCUGGCUCUCGAGAUUUGGAGAACGAUGCCUCUUCGAUUUUUGAGAAAGCAAUCAUGCUGGGGGUAUGACUCUCGAGAUUCGGAGAGCAGUGUCUCUUCGAUUUUUGAGGAAGUAAUCAUGUUGGGAGUCUGGCUCUCGAGAUUCGGAGGGCGGUGCCUCUUCGAUUUUGGAGCAAACAAUCUUGUUGGGAGUGUUGUCUCGAAUGUGAGUAAAGGUUGGGCAUGUUUGCUAGUCUACCUUGCCACGAAGCACAAAGGUUGACACACAGGGACUUUCCAAUUAUCCAGCAAUGGUACUGUUCCUUUACCUCUCUCUUCGAUUUUGAGAAAGUAGUCAUGUUGGGAGUCUGGCUCUCGAGAUUCGGAGGAUGGUGCCUCUUCGAUUUUGGAGCAAGCAAUCUUAUUGGGAGUGUUUUUCUCGAAUGUGAGUAAAGGUUGGGCAUGUUUGCUAGUCUACCUUGCCACGAAGCACAGAGGUUGACACACAGGGACUUUCCAAUUAUCCAGCAGUGGUACUGUUCCUUUACAGUUGUGGGUAAUAAUAUGGUAGCUAGACCUUCAAAAUUUAUGUGUCUAAACUUUUGUUAGUGCUGUUUCUUUGCUAUUCUUUUACCUUUCUUGGUCAGAGCGAUGUAGUGGGAGCUGCAAGCUUCACGUGCUCAACUUUGGCAGAGAACUUUGGCAAAGUUAUUUGUGGUACCCAUGAGCUAUUGUUGCGUGUGGGAAGUGGGUGUGAUUGAACAGUAAGAUUCAUGUGCUUUCUACUUCACCAGAAGUCUUCGACAGAAUGCCCAUAAUUUCUGCAAAGCUGAGUGUGCGUGUGACAGGUGCUGACAAGGCUAGAAAAGUAGGUGCCUCUUCGAUUUCUGAGAUCGGCCCUCGUGGUCUCUGAGCAGCCCAGCUUUUGAGAAAGCGAGCGCCUCUUCGAUUGAUUCGGAGAACGAUGCCUCAUCGAUUUUUGAGAAAGCAAUCAUGCUGGGGGUCUGGCUCUCGAGAUUCGGGGAGCAGUGUCUCUUCGAUUUUUGAGAAAGUAAUCAUGUUGGGAGUCUGGCUCUCGAGAUUCGGAGGGCGGUGCCUCUUCGAUUUUGGAGCAAGCAAUCUUGUUGGGAGUGUUUUCUCGAAUGUGAGUAAAGGUUGGGCAUGUUUGCUAGUCUACCUUGCCACGAAGCACAGAGGUUGACACACAGGGAGUUUCCAAUUAUCCAGCAAUGGUACUGUUCCUUUACCCUCUCUUCGAUUUUUAAGAAAGUAGUCAUGUUGGGAGUCUGGCUCUCGAGAUUCGGAGGACGGUGCCUCUUCGAUUUUGGAGCAAGCAAUCUUAUUGGGAGUGUUUUCUCGAAUGUGAGUAAAGGUUGGGCAUGUUUGCUAGUCUACCUUGCCACGAAGCACAGAGGUUGACACACAGGGACUUUCCAAUUAUCCAGCAGUGGUACUGUUCCUUUACCCUUGUGGGUAAUAAUAUGGUAGUUAGACCUUCAAAAUUUAUGGGUCUAAACUUUGUUAGUGCUGUUUCUUUGCUAUUCUUUUACCCUUCUUGGUCAGAGCGAUGUAGUGGGAGCUGCAAGCUUCACGUGCUCAACUUUGGCAGAGAACUUUGGCAAAGUUAUCUGUGGUACCCAUGAGCUAUUGUUGCGUGUGGGAAGUGGGUGAUUGAACAGUAAGAUUCAUGUGUUUUCUACUUCCCCAGAAGUCUUUGACAGAAUGCCCAUAAUUUCCGCAAAACUGAGUGUGCGUGUGACAGGUGCUGACAAGGCUGGAAAAGGCUGGAAAAAGUAGGUGCCUCUUCGAUUUCUGAUAUCGGCCCUCGUGGUCUCUGGGGAGCCCAGCUUUUGAGAAAGCGAGCGCCUCUUCGAUUUUUGAGAUCGGCCUUCGUGGUCUUUGAGCAGCCCAACUUUUGAGAAAGCAAACGCCUCUUCGAUUUCUGAGAUCAACCCUCGUGAUCUCUAAGCAGCCCAGCUUUUGAGAAAGCAAACGCCUCUUCGAUUUCUGAGCAGGCGCCUCUUCGAUUUCUGAAGCUUCGUCGAGUGCAGAUUUUUAUAGGGGCUGGCAUUAAGUUCCAAAGCACACUUGAAUCUCCACCAGUAGAAGCUUCAUUCUUGCACUUCUAAGAUCUUGAUUUGUCCGACCUCUUCUCUCUUCAACACCUUUGAAAAUGUCUGGCCCCUCCGACCGUCGUUUUGACUUGAACCUUGUUGAAGAGGCAGCCCCGCCUUCUCCAGACAACAUAUGGCGCCCAUCCUUCGUCUCCCCUACUGGUCCUCUUACCGUUGGGGAUUCCGUGAUGAAGAAUGAUAUGACCGCUGCGGUGGUGGCCAGGAACCUUCUCACUCCCAAAGAUAACAGACUACUUUCCAAACGGUCUGAUGAGUUAGCUGUUAAGGAUUCGCUGGCUCUCAGUGUUCAGUGUGCAGGUUCUGUGUCUAAUAUGGCCCAACGCCUAUUUGCUCGAACCCGCCAAGUUGAAUCAUUGGCGGCUGAAGUGAUGAGUCUCAAACAGGAGAUUAGAGGGCUCAAGCAUGAGAAUAAACAGUUGCACCGGCUCGCACAUGACUAUGCUACAAACAUGAAGAGGAAGCUUGACCAGAUGAAGGAAACUGAUGGUCAGGUUUUACUUGAUCAUCAGAGAUUUGUGGGUUUGUUCCAAAGGCAUUUAUUGCCUUCGUCUUCUGGGGCUGUACCGCGUAAUGAAGCUCCAAAUGAUCAACCUCUGAUGCCUCCUCCUUCUAGGGUUCUGUCCAGUACUGAGGCUCCAAAUGAUCCCCCUCCGGUGCCUUCUCUUUCUGGGGCUCUACCGACUGCUGAGACUUCUCCUAAGCAACCUUUGUGAAGGCUCCCUCUUGUGUGCUUAUUUUGACUCAUGUAUAUGUACAUAUUUGUAGCUUAUCGGGGAUAUCAAUAAAUAAGCUUUCCUUGUACAUAUUUGUAGCUUAUCGGGGAUAUCAAAAAAUCAUAAUAGUUAAAACAAUACCUAUAAUUAUUAUGAAUUUAACAUUCUACAUGAUUAAUUUAGACUAAAAUAAAAAUCUCAGUUAAAUUUAGAAACGAGGGGAUUAAGUGGUGGUGAAGAAAGGACAGCAGAAUGGUAGGUUAUGUCGGUGGUGUGGACCGUGUGAUCAAUCUGAUCGUGGUUUGUGGAGACUGGAGAGGAGACUGGUAUUGUGCUGAUGGUCUUCGGUUGGGACAAGGAUUGUCUGCCCUUCCACUUCCGGUGUCCUUCCGUGUCCUCCUGUUUUGUGUGGUCACAGUUAAGCCAAGUUAACAUUUUAUAUUGUUUUUUUAUAGAGAUAAUAAGACAAAAAUGAAUAGUAAUAUAAAAUGUUGACGUGACUUAACCGUGACCAUACAAAUAAGAGGGCACGAGAGGGCAUUGGAAGUGGGAGGGUAGACAAUCCUUGUCCCUUCGGUUGAGUGGGGUGGGGUUUUCAAGCUACGCAUCAAAACACACCGUUUUACUUAAAUGACUUGACUCCUUUAAAAAGAAAAAAAAGAAAAAAAAGAAAAAAAAAAAACUUCUUCUCUCCAUCUCGGUUGCAGAAUACCAGAAGACCCACCAGAAGUCAGAACACGGUGCGGCCCCACUCUUCUUCUCCUCCACCACACUUGGUGGUCCACGGAGGUCCUUGCAGCCACUUGUUCGGGCUUCCGGAUGGUCCCAAGACCACCCAAGUCUCUUAGUAGAUGGUAUUACCUCAUGUGAAGCUUCCGAAACAACUUUGAUAUAUUUUUCUCAAAUUAUUAUGAUUGGUUGAAAUUUUUUUUUUAAUUUCCAGCCACGUUAAUUAAGGAUGAAUCAUUUUAUCUCUUAUUUAAGAAUAUUUGUUAAAAACAAAUGUAAAAAUAUUUGUUCCUUGAUCCUAACUUAUUUUGUAUAUAUUAGGAAAAAGAACAUUUCCAUAAAACGUAACAGGACUGCAUACCUGACGGGACGGUUAUGGUGUAGGCAAUCCCUAGCCAUUCCCAAAUUGUCACCUCUAGAUAUGCUUUGCUAGGAGUCCAUUAAUUGAUUACUUCACUGUUACUAUAAAUUUGUAUGUGAUUGCGCAGGCAUCAAUAAUUACUUCUCAUCAUUUUAAUUUGUGCAGUUGUGACUAUUUCUGAGCCUCAACAGAUCAAGCUUCCAAAUUUCCAAGGAACUAGUCUUUGGCUGUUACUCUUCCCUUCGUUGAGUUCUGCACCUCAAUAUUGCUCAAGAACGUUUCACUAUUUCUUUGAUUUCUUGGAGUGCCCUUCACUCUUAACAUGGCACUGGGAGAGGGUUUUCUUGCGGCGUUUCUAAAGGUGCUGCUCAACAGGUUGACCUCCCGCGAGAUUCUCAACUACAUUGGAAACUUCCGGGGCGUCAGAAAGAAGCUGGACAAGUGGAGGGCCGUGUUAACUGCAAUAGGAGCGGUGCUCAGCGAUGCCGAGGAAAAACAACUCACUGAGGAUGCUGUGAAACUGUGGCUCGAUGAUCUCAGAGACUUGGCUUAUGAUGUCGAAGACAUGUUGGACAAAUUUGACACCCAAAUGUUGAAGCGCAUGAUAGAGGGACGUGAUCAAGCCCGCACAAGCAACAAGGUGCGGACCUCACUUUUCAAAAUUAAAUUCAAUAGGGAUAUGAACUCCGAAAUGAAGAAGAUUACGGAGCGGUUGCAAGACAUAUCUGAACGGAAAGAGAAGUUUGGCUUGAAAGAUACUGGGACGUCUGCUAAGGAAUCGCGAAGUCUACCAAGUUCAGAUGUGUUAGAUGAAAAGCUAGUUGUUGGAAGGGAUGGUGACAAAGGGGAGAUUAUUGAAUUGUUGUCAAGAAAAUACGAGCAUGAAGGUGCUGUCAAUUUUGGUGUAGUUGCUAUAGUUGGCAUGCCCGGAGUUGGGAAGAUGACACUUGCUCAACUUGUAUUCAACCACAAAGAUGAUGCCAUGAAGGAGUUUGAGCCUAAGGUGUGGGUAUCUGUGUCUGAUGACUUCAAUGUGGUGCGAGUGACAAAGGCAAUUCUUGAAUCCAUCACAUCCCGACCCGUUCAAAUGGAGGAGUUUAGUAAAAUUCAGCAUGAUUUGUGUGAGCAAUUAAGAGGAAAAAAGUUUUUAAUCGUGUUAGAUGAUAUCUGGAACAAAGGCGACUAUGAUCUACACGAUCUCUGGACAAGACUUAAAUCCCCUUUUGGCGUCGGAGCAGGAGGAAGUAAGAUUAUUGUGACAACCCGUGAUGUGCAUGUUGCAAGGACUAUGGGAGCCACGGGAGUUCAUAAUUUGGAAUGUAUGGCAGAUGAUGAUUGUUUGGAAAUAUUUGAGCGACAUGCAUUUGGGGAAGUUAAUAGUGUAAAACCAGUAAAUUAUGAGUUGAUUCGGACAAAAAUUGUUGAAAAAUGUUGUGGCUUACCAUUAGCUGCGAGGACUCUCGGUGGUCUCUUACUUUGCAAAGAAAAAGAUGAGUGGGGAGAAAUAUUGGACAACAAACUAUGGAAUCUUGCAGAUAACAGUAGCCUUCUCCCCGUACUAAAGUUGAGCUAUCACUAUCUUCCAUCACAUUUGAAGAGGUGUUUUGCCUACUGCUCAAUACUUCCAAAUGACUACGAAUUUUGGGAGAAGCGGCUCGUCCUUUUGUGGAUGGCAGAGGGUUUGAUUCAACAAAAACCUGAUGACAAUAAACAAAUGGAGGAUUUGGGCCGCGACUACUUUCGAGAGCUAUUAGCAAGGUCGCUGUUUCAAGAAUCAAGCAAAACCAAUUCAAGAUAUGUAAUGCAUGACCUCGUUAAUGAUUUAGCACAUUGGGCAGCAGGAGAAAUAUGUUUUAGGUUGGAAGAUAAGCAAGGUGAUAACUUGCAAAGCACUUGCUUUCAAAGGGCUCGCCAUUCGUCUUUCAUUGCUGGUGAAUUUGAUGGAGUUACGAGAUUUGAGGACUUCCCAAAAGCUGAACGCUUGCGAACAUUCCUGCCACUUUCACUUUCAGAUUCUGGUGGAUGGUACAAAUGUUUGUCUCGUAAGGUUACUUUUGAGCUAUUACCACAGUUGCAAUACUUACGAGUGCUCUCGUUCAAUUGCUACACAAUAACUGAGCUGCCAAAGUCAAUCGGUGAUUUGAGGUUGUUACAGUAUCUUGACCUUUCCUACACAGAUAUAACCUGUUUGCCUAAGUCAACAAGCACUCUUUACCACUUGCAAACAUUGAUAUUGGAAGGUUGUUCUAAAUUGAAGUCAUUGCCCACAAACAUGAGUAAUCUAAUUAAUUUGCGCCAUCUCAACAACUCAGGUGCAUAUUCGUUGGAAGGAAUGCCUUGGCAACUAGGUCGAUUGACGAAUCUACAAUCAUUGCCUCUUUUUGUGGUGAGCAAAGGUAGUGAUCAAUCAGGGAUAAGAGAGAUAGGGCCCCUAUUGCAUCUUCGAGGGACACUGUGCCUCUCAAGAUUGGAGAAUGUGACUGAUGUCAAGGAUGCCAGGAGGGCCAACUUGAAAUGCAAGGAGAGGCUUGAUUCGUUGGUCCUAAAAUGGUCUCAUUCAAGCGACACGAGAGAAACGGAAUCCGUUGUGCUUGACAUGUUAGAGCCUCAUACAAAGCUCAAGGAGCUCACCAUCAAGAGUUAUGCCGUAGAGGAAUUUUCAUCAUGGGUUGGAGGUCAUUUGUUCUCUAAUAUGGUGCUUGUGCGGUUAGAGGAAUGUAACAAUUGUUUAUCGGUGCCACCUCUCGGACAAUUGCCUCAUCUCAAAGAACUUUAUAUUAGAGGAAUGAAUGCAGUGGAAAGUGUUGGUGCUGAGUUUUAUGGCGAGUGUAUCUUGCCUUUUCCGCUGUUAGAGAUUCUUGAGUUUGUGGAUAUGUAGCAUUGGAAGGUGUGGCUUCCUUUCCAACUGGAUCACGAAAGUGCUUUUUUCCCUUGCCUGAAAAGGCUUUCAAUCAAACGAUGUUCAAAGUUGGAAGGUGAGCUGCCAGAGAAGCUCGAUUUGUUAGCCGAACUUGAAAUUGUUAAAUGUGAGGAAUUGGUGGUUUCGAUUGCCAACUACAAACAACUUCGUCAAAUAAAAAUUGACGGUUGUAAAGUGUUGGUACAUACAGAUGCUAAGGUUGAGUUUGAGUUAUUAGAGUCCUUGUGGCUUUCAAACAUUUCGGAGGUGACGUCUCUGCAAACAGGGGAAUUGUUCAGGAAGGGAUUAAGCAAGGUUAGAGAUUUGAAGAUCCAUGGAUGUGAGAAGCUGACGUCUUUAUGGAAGAAUGAGGAUGCUAAGGUUGAGUUUGAGUUAUUAGAGUCCUUGUGGCUUUCAAACAUUUCGGAGGUGACGUCUCUGCUAACAGGGGAAUUGUUCAGGAAGGGAUUAAGCAAGGUUAGAGAUUUGAAGAUCCAUGGAUGUGAGAAGUUGACGUCUUUAUGGAAGAAUGAGGCUAGAUUAUUGCAGCGGUUGACUUGUCUUGGCCGUUUGGAAAUUGAAGACAACUCUUGUCUAGUUGAAGAAUUGGGAAAAGAAGCAGAGGAGUUGAUGCAAUUGCAAAUAUUGGAGUGCAAGCUUGAAUUUCUGGAGUUAAACAAGUGCGAAAAUCUUUGGACGCUACCAAAAGGAUUAAAUCAGCUGUCGUCUCUUAAAGAGCUUCGCAUUCACGAAUGUUCACGUCUAGUUUCUUUCCCAGAUGUUGGUCUGCCACCUUCUCUUAAAGACAUUGAGAUUAUAUCGUGCGCUUCGUUGAUAUAUUUUGCAAAAUUCCAGAUUCCCCAAAAUCUAAGAAGAAUAGAUAUAAGAGAUUGCAAAAGUUUGAAAUCACUAGUAGAUGAGGAGGAAUGUGAACGACUGGGUUUAAUAGCACCGAACGGGUUCUUCAGCGACAACACCAAUCACUGCCUUGAAUAUAUUCUGAUCUCGAAUUGCCAAAAUCUGAAAUCCUUACCGGAUGGCUUAUGCCACCUCAGCAAUCUUCAAAAGCUAUAUAUUGAACUAUGUGGAAGUCUUGUUUCCAUCCCGAGACUGAGUGGGGGGAGAAGACCCUCCAACCUGAGAACGAUCUGGAUCAUCGGAUGCGACAAAUUGGAGGCGUUGCCCGAAAACAUGCACAAUCUCAACUCUCUUGAGGAUUUGAGCAUCGACUACCGUGAAGGUUUGACUUUUCCUCCCAACCUAACAUCACUUGAUCUUUGGAAGGUCAAGAGUUGUAAGUCAUUGUGGGAGUUGGAGUGGGGGUUGCACAGACUCACCUCUCUUAGAUACUUGUAUAUCGACAGUGAAGACCCGGAUACGGUGUCGUUUCCACCCGACAUGGUACGGAUGGAGACGCUCUUCCCCAAAUCUCUCACUAACCUCGCAAUAGGUGGCUUCCCGAAUCUAAAGAAACUGAGCAGCAAGGGCUUUCAAUUCCUCACCUCCCUUCAAUCUCUGAAACUCUUCCGUUGUCCAAAGCUAGCAUCUAUUCCAAAGGAGGGUCUGCCUCCUUCGCUAGAGGAACUUUGGAUCGAAGGGUGUCCAGUGCUAAAAGAGAGAUGUCAACCAGGAAAAGGACGCUACUGGCACAAAAUAUCCCACAUCCCUUACAUAAGGAUAGAUUAUAAGAAGAUAUGAAGCUGAUGGUCCAGGUAUCAUCUCUCGAGGAAUGUUUUAAUAUUAAUAUUAUUAUUAUUAAUAUCUCACAUCCCUUUCAUAAGCAUAGAUUGGGAGUUGAUAUGAAGCUGAUGGUCCAGGUAUCAUCUCUCAAGGAAUGUUUUAAUAUUAAUAUUAUUAUUAUUAUUAAUCAUCUUUAUUCUUGUAAAGUAAAGUAAUCCACAUAUUUUGGUUUGGGUCAAGGCUUUGGGGGUUGAGGAGUGGCUACUUUGGGAGGCCUUUCAAUUGGCGUCAACGGGGAUAUUUCUCCGCCAACGUUUCUUCUCCCAGAUUCCUAUAUUUGCUUCUUUCUUUCUUUUUUUUAUUGGUAAACGAUUGCUAUGUUUGCUUGGUCCCUUUUCAUUGAUUUGUAUUAUAACUUUAUAAAUGUGCUACUCUUUCUCCCAGCAAGAUUUUAAUCAGGCCACUUUAAUCUAAUCUUUUAUUUUAUUUUAGCAAAUUUUGACUUAUGAGCUAGUAAUGCAUUUUAUUUAAUGCAUCGAGAAUAAGCAAUCAACAAAGAAAUGGAAAUGUAAAGAGCUCGUUGCUCAAGUGGGUACAAGAGUGAUUUUACCCUUGGCCGUUUGUUAUGCACUUGCUAGAGGCUUGUGGAACGAUGACCACUAAAUGACUUCCUUUACUAUAACUUGUCUUCCUGAAAGUAGAAAAUACGUGCCAACGAAUUUUGGUCAAUCAAAUCCUUAUACCAAGCCUUCAUCACUUGUUCAAAAAAUGCAUUAUUCAUCUAAUUGAUAUGUGAUAAAUUGGUGAUGAUUAUGCAUUUUAACCGAGUUCUAAGGAAAAUUGAAGAUAGUAAUACAUCAGUACUAAAACUACAAAAUAUUACUGAAUUUGUAUACUUAUUACUUGGGUGCCCUCUGCCUUGCUGUGCUGAAUAACAAUGAGAAUAUAUUACUGAAUUCUAGCAGGAAAAAGGCAGGCCACUCUCAAAAUUUGGUGAAUGGGACGUCAAUGAUCCUGCUUCAGCUGAGGGGUUUACUGUGAUCUUUAACAAGGCUAGGGAUGAGAAGAAGACAGGUGGAAAACCGGAGUCACCAGGAAAGGUUGAUCCUAAUAUCAGGCAUGGAGGAGUGGAUACUGGCACUGGCACUGGCAGGCCUUCGUCUGUAAGAUUUUUUCUCAUAACUCUGUCUCAUUUCUUUGUCUAAUGAUUUGAUAAUAUACACAUGAGACAGCCAAUAGCAAUACAUUCUUUACGGUUUUCUUAGUUGCAAGUUAUUGCUUUUCAAGUGACGUCAGUAGUACAACACAGCAUACCAUUUGAUGUGAAAAUCAAUGCAACUGACUUAUAUAGAACUCUAGUAAGGAAAUGUGGCAAAAGACAGAUCUAAUGUUAGGGCCAAGAUAUUUGAAAAAUAAAAGAACACAAGAUGAUUCGGCUGUUUUAUCUGCAUUAUUCCAUGGGAGUGGAAUUGGCAUACGUUAACUUCACUCAGGUUCCAUCUCCUUUUAGACAGAUGUAGCCUAAUAGGAACAUUUGUUUGUUUUAUUGUGAACAAUUGAAAGAACUAUUGGCCCUUGAAAUAUUUGCUCUUGUCAAUUGAUCAUUGUGUGGCCUUUUCGUUUUCUGUGUCUGCUGCAUUUCCAAUUAGUAGAAUAAUAGAACGAAUAACUGGACGGUAAUUAUUUCUGCUGCCAAAAUCUAAUAUGCUUAAAUUCCUCACUCUUUGUGGAUGAUUUGAUUUGGUUUGAUUUCCUGGUGCACAGAAAAAAUGGUUUUGCAGCAUUCAUCAACCACCAGCAGUUUUGUUGACAAUGUUGUUCUCCUAAGUGCUCCGAUGGAGGAGCACGGUGUUCUGUAACUGGCUCCACUAUAUUUCCUCUCUCACUGUAUGUCUAUGAAAUUGGCAGCCGGGUAAGUGAAGUUUGAAGCAAUGGUUAGCAGUUUGCCUAAGGAAAUCGUACAUGAUAUCCUUUUGAGACUACCUCCUAAAGCUUUGAUGAGAUGCACCUCGGUGUCCAAGCCUUGGAACUCCAUGAUAAAAAGUCCCAGCUUUAUUCGCACCAAGGUAUAAAAUAUCAAUGAUAUCGGAAAUGUCGGUAGUCCAAAAACACGGAAAUUUCGAUGGAAAUAUCGGGAUAUUAUCGAUAUCGAUAAAAAUUGAAUAAAAACCAUGGAAAUUGUUAGAAAAACUUGGAAAUUUUUAUUGAAACUUUGCUGGAUGUUUAUUUAGUCAAUUAUCUAUUAGUUUAUUACAAAAAAUUGGAAGGAAAUGCAUUGCAUGAUAGAUAUAACUGAUUUAAAUUGAUUAUAUAGCGAGCUGGCAAACAUGGUGAGUGUAGAAAAUAUGUAGUAAUUAAUGAAAGAAGUUUAAACACACCAUAAUCAUUUAUAUAUAAUGAAUUAGUACAAUAUUUUACACUUUAUACAUUUCAUGGUAAGAUACAUGAGUGACUUAGCAAGGUCUAAAAUAUCGAUGAUAUCGGAAAUAUCGGUAGUCCAAAAAAAUAUCACUAGUCCAAAAACGCGGAAAUUUCGAUGGAAAUAUCGGGAUAUUAUGGAUAUUUUAGACCAUGAUUCGCACCCACCUCAGCCGUACCAUCGAUUUUAAGCAGUUUGGCACCCACCGACUCCUUCUGCAUUGUGUUAGUGGAGACAAUCCAGUGGAGCAGAAUUACUAUUUGCAUUAUGAUAACCAUGCUUUUGAUGAGUACUGCAAGCUAGAGUAUCCAAGUGUUCCCAAGCGCAAGAGAUUUCUUCGUGUGGUCGGAAUGCGAGGAUCCGAAUACUUUUUAUGGGCUUAUUCACUUGCUAGAGGCUUGUGGAGUAGUCCUUGUUCUUUUGAUCCCGUUUGUAAAGUUUUUUAUUCUUGCAAAUUUCAGGCUUUUGUGAACUGGGCAGUUCAUUGGCUGGCAUGGCGCUGCUUGAACGAUGGUCGUUAUCAAAAUUUCAUUUUAGCAAUUGAUGUGGACGGUGAGUUAUUUUGCGAGAUAAGGGUGCUAAAGAGUUUCAGACAGGAUGAACCAUUAGAUUAUCACUUGUCUGUUUCAGGUGAUGGAAACUCCGUUGCUAUGUUCACGACAACGCGUGGUCGUAAUUGUCCUGAGGAUUUUCUUGACAUAUGGGUGAUGAAAGAGUAUGGCAUCGAGGAUUCAUGGGCCAAACUGAUAACUCUAAGUCCACCGGAUCCGGAAAGAAGGGUGCCCUACAAGCCCUUAUGUUUUAGGAACAAUGGUGAAGUAGUGUCCUGACUUUAUCACUUGUUCUAGUAAAAAACGUCGCAUGUACUGGGAUUUUCUCAGGGAUGCCUUGUGAUAUUCUGACAUGGGUAAAUUGUAGCAAUGGUCCCUCAUUUUUUAAUCAAAUUGGAGCAAUGAUUCGUCAACUAAAAUUUCAUUACCAUUGGUCCCUCAAUUUAUGAAAAUGUGUAGCUAUAGUCAUAUUCAUCAAUUUUGUCUAAAUAAGUUAUGUUGGAAUAAUCAUUUAUAUAAUUAGGGUCCCUCAAUUCAUCAAAGUGUGUAAUUAAGGUUCUUUUCGUCAACUACGUCAAAAUUUUUGUCAAAACGAGUUAUGUUGGACGGAUCAUUGCUACAAUUAGGUUAAAGUUAAGGGACUAUUUCUCCAGUUGAAUUAAAGUUGAGGGAUCAAUGGUAAUAGAUUUUUAGUUAAGAGACCAUAGCUGCACAUUUUGAUGAGUUGAGGGACCAAUAAUAAUGAAUUUUUAGUUGAGUGACCAUUGCUCCAAUUGAGUUAAAGUUAAGAGACCAUAGCUACAAUUUACUCUUCUAACAUUGCUGGAUGUUAGCUAGAGAUGAACAUUUUUCCUUUAGUUUGUCUGUUAAUUUAGAGACCUAGAAGAAGUUGCUUAUCACAACAUGUUGCCAAUGUUCAUGGAUAUAUACAGUUAAAUUAAUUUCUUUGAAAUUGCUUGUGAUAUUUUCGUGCCAAAUAGGAAGAGAAGAAAAUUGCAUAUCUUAUUUUUUUAGCUCUAAUAAGAUUUAUCUAGUCACGAGACUUUUACAAUAACUUUUGCUCCUAUGGUCAACCAAAAUAAUAAUAUUACAGUAGAGACUAGUAGUCCAUUAGUAAUUGUGUGUUCAACUGAAAGCAGCGAGAAAAAUACGUACCUUUUUCUCUUCUCUGUUUUCAAAGAAUUUUUUAUCUUCUUCCUCUGCAACCCUUGCAUGCAGGUUUGGCAGUAAAGUAAGUUUCCGCGCAAUUAAAAUAAUGGCAAACUAAUCUUUCGGUUUCGUACGAAGAUAGGAUAAUUUAUACUAAAUUAUUUUUUUGUCUUUUAUUAAAGAAUACAUUUAUAAAAAAAUAAAAAAAGAAGUUUUAAGUGUUUGGGAUCUUUUAAAUACCAAUUUCAAUACAGCUAUUAGUUUAAGUAACAUAAUUUUUAGUUUAGGUGCCAAUGAAAAAAUCAACUAAAAUAAUUCUAUAAAAACUAUUAUAAUUCAAAAUAAUUAUACGAUUGCCGCGUUUUCCGACCUGCCAACUGUAUUCGCAACCACCUCACCCUUACAAUCAAUCUUAAUAACCACGUUUCGACUGACCUCCUUGUACUGCAUUGUAUUCGCAUACACGAGCCAAGGGAGGAGCAUUAGUAUUUGCAUUAUGAUAAAUAACCAUGAUUUUGAUGAGUACUGUAGACUAGAAUUUCCAAUCAUUCCCAAGGGAGAAUGGUUUAAUACGACCUAUAGACUACAAGAACUCAAAUUCCUUUUUUGUUAUCUUCUGUAAACCAUCCAUUAGAGCUCUCGGCAGGCAGUGACCAUUUUUGAGGAAUGACUAGACACAUGUUGGGGCAUCAUCAUGACAUCAUAGGUGAACAAUACGAUUUCGCGUUUAAGUUUCUCUCUAUAUACAUCGUGUUAACUUUGUUUUUCUACUUUCCUAGCACGUUCCGGUUCGUGUAUUUUCAGUUUUUGUAUAGUGGAAAGGUCAAGUUGGUAGUAGAUUGACAUAGCGAAAAAAUUACUUGUCACUAAUUCAGUUUACCAAGCUUAAUUGGUCUCUCUUAACUUACAAAAUUGUCAUAAUAAGCUAGUAGUUUCACUUCAUGGAAAUCUUGCUCAAUGUUGUUUGACUUGUUUCCCUUCUUAAACAUCGAUCGAGAUGUUCGUUAAUUAAAUGCUAAUAAUACUUGCUCUUCACCUUCAAAUGGAUCAUAAGUUAAUAUAGCUCUGUGAUUAAUUAAGUAGUAUGACUCCAAAAUGGUAAAAGCAUAAUCCAUGAUAAUUUUGGUAAAUCUGAUCUCGGCAAGAUCAUGUUCUUCUCUUCUUGUUGUGUGGCUCACGUUGUUUCAGAGUCUUUUACUGUUUAAAAUUAAUUACUAUUCCACCCGAAGUUUCACGUUUGGGUCCUCUUCUUAUAGCGGAAACGAAAAAGUAUAACCGUGUAGGAUAUUUGCGAUAAGAAAGCAAUCAAAAAGAAAACAAUAUGACCCCACGAAAAAUAAAGAGAGAACAAAAACAAGGAAUCUUUCUUUCUUUACGGGCAGAAAGAUGAAGACAUGUUAGUCUUUUAACACGUAUCGCAAUGGCAAAUUGAAGUAGUUAUCGUCGAAAGAGGAAGACUUGUUAUAGUCUUUCAAGUCGACACCUAAUUAUCCUAGCAAAUUGAUCUGUAAAGUAGUCUACAAAAACUCAAAUUCCAUUUAAACUACCUGUUUUAUUAAAGGAAUAUACUAUCCGCAUAUCUAUUUUUACUUAUCAGACACUCUUUUUUACUUCUCACAUCCCCUUUGUUAACUUUUGUCCUUUGAUCUACUUCAAUUCAUCCGAUCCGACACCGAAAAUUAAAAUGAUGUGUGAGAAGUAAAAAAAGGUGUGUGGAUAUCACACCAUUUUACUAAAUCCUAAAUUGUAUAACUCCUUCAAAUAUAUCAAAGGCGAAUAUGGUACCUUCUGUAAACAAUCCGGUAGAGCUCUCAGCAGGCAAUGAUAAUAUUUAGGGAAUGACUAGACACAUGUUGGGACGUUAUCGUGACAUCAUGGGUUAACAAUACAAUUUGUGUUUAAAUUUCUCUUCACUAGCUUAGUUUUUCUACUUUCCUAACAUGUUCGGGUUCGUGCAUUUUCAGCUUUUGGGUAGUGGAAAAGUCAAGUUGCUGGUAGACUAAGUAGUGAACAAGUAGAUUCACACGGCAAUACAUAAGUCAAAAAUUACUCGUCACUAAUUCAGUUCUACCGAGUUUAGUUUGUCUCUCUUAAUCUUCAAACUUACAUAAUAAGCUAGUAAUUUCACUUCAUGAAAAUCUUGCUCAAAGUUGUUUGACUUGUUUCCUUUCUUUAGCAGCUAGACGUUCAAUUAUAUGCUAAUAAAACUUGCUCUUCAUCUUCAAUUGAUCUAAAAUAUAGCUCUGCGACUAAUUAAGUAGUAUGACUACAAGAUGGUUAACAAUAAUCCAUGGUAACCUUUUGCAGGAUCAUUUUCUUCUUCUUUGUGUUGUGUGGCUUAGGCUGUUUGAGUCUUUUACUACUUUAAAUUAAUUUAAGGAAAACUAAUGAAAAUGACUUGAAAACUUUGAGUUUUAACGAAAAUGACAAAAAUGUGUUGUAAAUGAAUAGUAUCAAUAUUGACUUUUUAGAGUAAAAAUGUGAUUUUUUGUUAAAGUAACAGUACCUUGAGUUUUUCUUCGUUAAAGUUUCGUUAAAUUUAUUGUCUCAACAUUAUCUACAAUGGCCUAAAAAAUUAAUCACCCUUUCAAACUAAUAUAAUCGGUAUUGCAAGAAAUGCAACUCAGUUGUUUACCAGCAAUCACCCUUUCACCCUAAAUUGCGUGUUUGGUUCCUCAUCUCCCAAAAUCGUUCGUAUAAAUGAAAAGAAAAUGUAUAACCGUGUAGGACAUAGGAGAUAAGAAAGCAAUUAAAAAGAUAAAAGAGGAAUCUGUCUUUUUUGGCAGAAAGAGGAAGACUUGUUAUAGUCUUUCAACACCUAAUCAUCAUUGCAAUUUGAAGAGCCUCGACUAGAAGAAAAAGACGUCUUAUGUACUCGGAAUUUUCUCCGGGAUGCCUUGUGAUAUUCUGAUAUUGCUGCUAGAAAUAAACAUUUUUCCUUAAGUUUGUCUGCUAAUUUACCGUCCUAGAAAAAGUUGCUUAUCACAACAUGUUGCCAAUGUUCAUGGACAUAUACAGUUAAUGAGUUUCUAUGAAAAUGUUGUCGAUAUUUUCGUGCCAAAUGUUGAGUGCAUCAUCUAUUUGUUGUAGCCUUAAUUUCUAGUUGCCCUCCAACUUUCAACGUUGCUUUGCUUAAUUGCAAACCUUUCAUCUCUUAUUGUGCUUUCUUCUCAAUAUUCUCACACCUCUAUAAGGCGAGAAGCAAAUUACAUAUCUCGGUUUCAAAGCUUUAAUAAGAUUUAUAUCUCUCUCAUUACAAAACUUUUACAAUAAAUUUUCCUCCCAUGGUCUAUCAAAAUAAUAAUAUUUCAGCAGCGACUAUCUAUUAUCAUAAAUUUUGGUGCAUUUGAAAGCAGCGAGAACAAUACAUUUUUAUUUUAUUUUUUCUCAAAUAAAUUUUUUGGUCAUUUUCCUCUGCAACCCUUGAGUUUCAACCCACUUUAUUUAUAAGAGUGAGGAGAACAAAUUUUUAAACCAAAUUUUGUAAAUAAAAUGAUAUGUCACUAAUAAAAAAUAAGUACGUUAAUUAAUACUUGAAUAAUUUGAUCUCUCUAACAUUAUUCUUAAAAUAAUGGUAAACUAAUUUUUUUAUUUAUUUUUACGAAUGAUAGAAUAAUCUAUUAAACUAUUGUGUUUUUUUUCUUUUUGUGAACAAUAAGACAAUAAACUAUUAUUUCGCCUUUUAUUAAAGAGUACUAAAAAAACGAAGUUUUUGAGAUCUUUUAAGUACCAAUUCCAAUAAAACUUUCAGGGUAAGUAACGUGAUUUUUAGUUUACAAAUAUUAAAAAAAACUAAUGAAAAUGACUUGAAAAUUUUGAGUUUUAAUGAAAAAGACAAAAAUGUGUUGUAAGUGAAUAGUACCAGAAUUGACAUUUUAAAGUAAAAAUGUGGUUUUUUGUUAAAGUGAGCAGUACCGAAAGAGUUUCGUUAAAGCUCCCAAAUACUAAUGAAAAAGUUAACCAAAAUAAAUCUACAGAUAUUAGAGCAAGUCCAUCCCUGAAAACUUUGUGCCAGCACCCAGCGUAUUUAUAUCUCCAUCGGCACCCGGAUGCAGUGUUAAAUGAGCAAGGGGGCUAUAGAAACUUCUUUUCGAACGACUCCACUCAAAGUUGUUUGGGAGCAUAUGCUCCUAUCAACUUUACACGGGACACACAAAAGAAGUACUUUGAUCCUAUUAGACGGGGAAGGGUGAAGAAGCUAGGACAGAAGGGUAGAGUUCAAGAGAGCAAAAUGCGUUUAGGAACGUGGAAUAUAGGAACCUUGACGGGAAAAUCUAUGGAAGUAGUAGAAGUUAUGGUGAGGAGAAGGAUAAAUAUUAUGUGCCUACAAGAAACUAAGUGGGUUGGGCGUAAGGCAAAGGAUCUAGAAAACUCAGGGUUUAAACUAUGGUAUUCGGGCACAAAUAGAACGAGAAACGGUGUUGGCAUCAUCGUGGACAAGACCUUGACACAAGAUGUUGUAGAUGUCAAGAGGGUAGGAGAUAGAAUCAUGGCAAUCAAGAUUGUAAUAGGACAAGAACUUAUCAAUGUGAUUAGUGCGUACGCACCUCAAGUAGGGUUGGAUACGAGUUCGAAGGAGAAAUUUUGGGAAGACCUUGGAGACUUGGUGCAAGGAAUUGCUCAGACGGAGAAGUUAUUUAUAGGAGGAGAUUUAAAUGGACACGUGGGCAGGGAGACAGGCAACUAUGGAGGUUUUCAUGGUGGCCAUGGUUUUGGGGAGAGAAACGAGGAUGGGGAAGCUAUCUUGGAUUUUGCAAUGGCAUAUGAUCUCUUCUUAGCCAACACCUUCUUUAAGAAGCGGGAAGAACAUGUGAUCACCUACAAGAGUGGGUCGUCAAAAACACAAAUAGAUUUUCUUCUAAUGAGGAAAAGGGAUCGUAUAACUUGUAAGGAUUGCAAAGUUAUACCAGGAGAGAGCGUGGCUAAUCAACAUCGCUUGUUGGUGAUGGAUGUACAUAUCAAAAGAGUGAGAAAAAAGAACAAGACUUGGAAGUGCCCAAGGACUAGAUGGUGGAAUCUAAAAGAAGAAAAACAAGCAAUUUUCAAAGAGAAAAUAAUCACCCAGUGUGUGUGGGAUAGAGAGGGGGAAGCUAACCAAAUGUGGGAUUCCAUGGCUAGUUGUAUCCGAAAAGUAGCAAAAGAGGUAUUAGGAGAGUCCAAGGGCUUUGCCCCACACCAAAAGGAAUCUUGGUGGUGGAGUGAGGAGGUACAAACAAAGGUGAAGGCUAAGAAGGAAUGUUGUAAAGCCUUAUACAAGGAUAGGACCGAUGAAAAUGGUGAAAGGUAUAGAAAAGCGAAGCAAGAGGUGAAGAAAGCUGUGAGAGAAGCUAAGUUAGCGGCUUAUGACGAUAUGUAUAAACGACUAGAUACCAAAGAAGGAGAGUUGGAUAUCUAUAAACUAGCUAGAGCAAGGGAAAAGAAGACAAGGGACCUAAACCAAGUGAGGUGCAUCAAGGAUGAGGAUGGAAAGGUUCUUGCUACAGAGAACGCGGUUAAAGACAGAUGGAAAGGUUAUUUUCAUAAUCUUUUCAAUGAAGGACAUGAAAGGAGUGCUUCUUUAGGGGAGUUGAGUAACUCAGAAGAGUGUAGAAACUACUCUUUUUAUCGUAGAAUCCGGAAGGAAGAAGUGGUUGUAUCUUUGAAGAAGAUGAAGCAUAGAAAAGCAGUAGGCCCAGACGAUAUACCAAUCGAAGUGUGGAAAGUUUUGGGAGAGACAGGUAUAACAUGGCUCACUGACAUUUUCAAUAGGAUUUUGAAAACGAAGAAGAUGCCAAAUGAGUGGCGAACGAGCACUUUGGUGCCUAUCUACAAGAAUAAGGGCGAUGUACAAAAUUGCAUGAACUAUAGGGGUAUUAAGCUAAUGAGUCAUACAAUGAAGCUCUGGGAGAGAGUCAUUGAGCAUAGAUUGAGGCAAGAGACACGGGUUUCGGACAACCAAUUCGGGUUCAUGCCAGGGGCGCUCAACCAUGGAGGCAAUCUAUCUCUUACGAAGAUUGAUGGAAAGAUAUAGAGAUGGGAAAAAGGAUUUACACAUGGUCUUUAUAGAUUUGGAAAAAGCGUAUGAUAGGGUCCCAAGAGACAUUCUUUGGAGGAUUUUAGAGAAGAAAGGAGUACGAGUAGCAUAUAUCCAAGCUAUACAGGAUAUGUAUGAAGGAGCAAAGACUGCCGUAAGAACUCAUGAAGGACAAACCGAAAGCUUUCCCAUAACUGUAGGAUUACAUCAAGGCUCAUCCUUAAGUCCUUACCUUUUUGCGUUGGUAAUGGAUGAGUUAACAGGACAUAUUCAAGAUGAUAUUCCUUGGUGUAUGCUUUUCGCAGACGAUAUAGUGUUGAUAGAUGAAACUCAAGAAGGGGUAAAUGCAAAGAUUAACCUUUGGAGAGAAGUGUUGGAAUCUAAAGGUCUUCGCCUAAGCCGAUCAAAGACAGAAUAUAUGGAGUGCAAGUUCAGUGCAAAUGGAGGCCAAAAACGAGUUAGGGGUGAGGAUCGGAGAUCAAGAAAUACCAAAGAGCGACCGUUUUCGUUACCUAGGAUCUAUCUUGCAAAAGAACGGAGAAUUAGAUGGAGAUCUCAACCAUAGAAUACAAGCUGGAUGGAUGAAGUGGAAGAGUGCAUCCGGCGUGUUGUGUGACCGCCGUAUGCCACUGAAGCUCAAGGGAAAAUUUUAUAGGACGGCAAUAAGGCCGGCGAUGCUGUAUGGCACAGAAUGUGGGGCGGUGAAGCAUCAACACGUACACAAAAUGGGUGUAGCGGAGAUGAGGAUGCUUCGUUGGAUGUGUGGGCACACGAGAAAGGAUAAGAUUAGGAAUGAGGAUAUCCGGGGUAAAGUAGGAGUAGCCGAAAUUGAAGGAAAGAUGAGAGAAAAUCGGUUACGGUGGUUUGGACAUGUGCAAAGAAGGCCUACUGACGCUCCGAUUAGAAGAUGCGACUAUGGGACAGAGGUUCAGGGCCGAAGGGGUAGAGGAAGACCCAGGAAAACUUUGAGAGAGACCCUAAGAAAAGACGUAGAGUACUUGGAUCUAACGGAGGACAUGACACAGGACAGAACACAAUGGCGUUCUAAGAUUCAUAUAGCCGAUCCCACUCAGUGACUUGGAUUUUUCCAAGUCUCCAACCGAAAAGUUUGUCCUCGCUCGGGAAAUUAAGGGAACACUACCUCAACCUACAUGCUCCACUCACAAAGCUCCAACAUACAAGCUUCAACAAAAGAAAAUUCAAAGAACUUAGCGAAGAAGGCUUUGGUGAUUUAACACAAUACGUUGAAAUGAAGGAAAGCUUAUUUAUUGAUAUCCCCGAUAAAUUACAAAUAUGUACAUAUACUUGAGUCAAAAUAAACAAACAAGAGGAAGCCUUCACAAAGGUUGCUUAGGAGAAGUCUCGGCAGUCGGUAGAGCCCCAGAAAGAGAAGGCACCGGAGGGGGAUCAUUCGGAGCCUCAGUACUGGACAGAACCCUAGAAGGAGGAGGCAUCAGAGGUUGAUCAUUUGGAGCUUCAUUACGCGGUACAGCCCCAGAAGACGAAGGCAAUAAAUGCCUUUGGAACAAACCCACAAAUCUCUGAUGAUCAAGUAAAACCUGACCAUCAGAUUCCUUCAUCUGGUCAAGCUUCCUCUUCAUGUUUGUAGCAUAGUCAUGUGCGAGCCGGUGCAACUGUUUAUUCUCAUGCUUGAGCCCUCUAAUCUCCUGUUUGAGACUCAUCACUUCAGCCGCCAAUGAUUCAACUUGGCGGGUUCGAGCAAAUAGGUGUUGGGCCAUAUUAGACACAGAACCUGCACACUGAACACUAAGAGCCAGAGAAUCCUUAACAGCCAACUCAUCAGACCGUUUGGAAAGUAGUCUGUUAUCUUUGGGAGUGAGAAGGUUCCUGGCCACUACCGCAGCGGUCAUAUCAUUCUUCAUAACGGAAUCCCCAACGGUAAGAGGACCAGUAUGGGAGACGAAGGAUGGGCGCCAUAUGUUGUCUGGAGAAGGUGGGGCUGCCUCUUCAACAAGGUUCAAGUCAAAACGACGGUCGGAGGGGCCAGACAUUUUCAAAGGUGUAGAAGAGAGAAGAGGUCGGACAAAUCAAGAUCUUAGAAGUGCAAGAAUGGAGCUUCUACUGGUGGAUAUUCAAGUGUGCUUUGGAACUUAAUGUCAACCUCUAUAAAAAUCUGCACUCGACGAAGCUUCAGAAAUCGAAGAGGCGUUUGCUUUCUCAAAAGCUGGGCUGCUCAGAGACCACGAGGGUCGAUCUCAGAAAUCGAAGAGGCGUUUGCUUUCUCAAAAGCUGGGCUGCUCAAAGACCACGAAGGCCGAUCUCAGAAAUCGAAGAGGUUUGCUUUCUCAAAAGCUGGGCUACUCAGAGACCACGAGGGCCGAUCUCAGAAAUCGAAGAGGUUUGCUUUCUCAAAAGCUGGGCUGCUCAGAGACCACGAGGGCCGAUCUCAGAAAUCGAAGAGGUUUGCUUUCUCAAAAGCUGGGCUGCUCAGAGACCACGAGGGCCGAUCUCAGAAAUCGAAGAGGCACCUACUUUUCCAACCUUGUCAGCACCUGUCACACGCACACUCAGCUUUGCGGAAAUUAUGGGCAUUCUAUCGAAGAUUUCUGGCGAAGUAGAAAGCACAUGAAUCGUACUGUUCAAUCACCCACUUCCCACACGCAACAGUAGCUCAUGGGUACCACAUAUAACUUUGCCAAAGUUCUCUGACAAAGUUGAGACUACUUUUCCAGCCUUGUCAGCACCUGUCACACGCACACUCAGCUUUGCGGAAAUUAUGGGCAUUCUGUCGAAGAUUUCUGGCGAAGUAGAAAGCACAUGAUUCGUACUGUUCAAUCACCCACUUUCCACAUGCAACAGUAGCUCAUGGGUACCACAUAUAACUUUGCCAAAGUUCUCUGACAAAGUCGAGACAUGUGAAGCUUGCAACUCUCACUACAUCGCUCUGACCAAGAAGGGUAAAAGAAUAGCAAAGAAACAACACUAACAAAGUUUAGACACAUAAAUUUUGAAGGGCUAGCUACCAUAUUAUUACCCACAAGGGUAAAGGAACAGUACCACUGCUGGAUAAUUGGAAAGUCCCUGUGUGUCAACCUCUGUGCUUCAUGGCAAGGUAGACUAGCAAACAUGCCCAACCUUUACUCACAUUCGAAAAAACACUCCCAACAAGAUUGCUUGCCCCAAAAUCGAUGAGGCAUCGCCUCCGAAUCUCGAGAGCCAGACUCCCAACAUGAUUACUUUCUCAAAAAUCGAAGAGAGGGUAAAGGAACAGUACCACUGCUGGAUAAUUUGAAAGUCCCUGUGUAUCAACCUCUGUGCUUCGUGGCAAGGUAGACUAGCAAACAUGCCCAACCUUUACUCACAUUCGAGAAAACACCCCCAACAAGAUUGCUUGCUCCAAAAUCGAAGAGGCACCGCCCUCCGAAUCUCGAGAGCCAGACUCCUAACAUGAUUACUUUCUCAAAAAUCGAAGAGAGGGUAAAGGAACAGUACCACUGCUGGAUAAUUGGAAAGUCCCUGUGUGUCAACCUCUGUGCUUCGUGGCAAGGUAGACUAGCAAACAUGCCCAACCUUUACUCAUAUUCGAGAAAACACUCCCAACAAGAUUGCUUGCUCCAAAAUCGAAGAGGCACAGCCCUCCGAAUCUCAAGAGCCAGACUCCCAACAUGAUUACUUUCUCAAAAAUUGAAGACACCGCUCUCCGAAUCUCGAGAGCCAGACCCCCAGCAUGAUUGCUUUCUCAAAAAUCGAAGAGGCAUCGUUCUCCGAAUCUCGAGAGCCAGAUCCCCGACAGGAUUGCUUGUUCGAAAACCGAAGAGGCACCACUUUCCCAACUUCAAGAGCCGGAUCUCCUUGGAUAAAGCUUGUCUGUAAUCUUCACACGCAACAUCAGCUUUCCAGAUACCACAGACCACUUUUUCAAAGUGCUCUAACAGAGUUAAAACUUGUGAAGCUGGCAGCUCCCACUACCGUGCUAUGACCAAGGAGGGUAAAGGAAUAGCAUUAUUACUUGAUGUUAGGGAGACUCCUAUAUAUGUCGACCUCCAUCCCCAACGAACAGGCAGACCUGCAAAAAUGCUCAACCCUUCCUCUUAUCUGAGAGGGCACUCCCAACGAAGCCUUUCGAAAUAUUCAGCUUUCUUUCCCCCCGAUAAUACCUCUGUAAACAAGCUAUACUAGAGCAAGAAUAUCUCAUAUCAUCAGGGUUAAAAGCAAGAGUAUCCCAUAUCAUGCUUUUUCCCUGUCUUUUCCUUUGGCCUUGUUCUUACUUGCAAGACAAGGAGAAAAGAGAGCAAUCAGUCAGCACUUGGAAUCAAGCUUCCAGCCAGGAACUGACUGCCUGGAACCCCUUACCCUGGCAUUGCUCUCGAGUACUCAUCUUCAACAUCUUAUGCUUCCAGGGAAGAUACCGCAUCUGCCUGAGGAACAGAUAGGGCAAGUGAGAAGGAUACAAGGAAGCAUGUGGAGACAAGCGUAACAGCACACGUGCCGAUACAUCCACUACUCUGUCAAAAGCAAAAGUAUCCCAUAUCAGCAGGGUCGAACGUACUCUAGAUUUGAUGGACUUGUUUUGACCCUCAAAUUCUUCAGUCGGCCUUAUACUUUGGAGGAAACCAUAAAACCCUCCAGCCCAGUUCAAGAAUAAGCCUGUGGAAAGUUACUUCUUCAAAAGCAAAAGUAUCCCAUAUCAUCUCUUCUCAUUUUUCUUCUCUUUAUCCUUCAUGCUGCCUGCAAGAUAGGGAGAAUGUGAACAAUCAGCCGGAGCUCUGAUUGUUUACCUUGUCUGUUACCUCUUUCAGCAGAUCCCCUAGCUCGGCGACUUGGGGGACUCCUACUACAUGGUUUGUAUCGCGCUUGACCAAGCCUGAAACUACAAGUAAGCUUCAAGUGACAUUGAUACAUUACCUUGUGCAUCUCCACCAGUUACAGAUACCACCCCUGGAUGGAGGAAGAGUACUUCCAGAGAAGAUUCCACAUCUACCUAUGAGACAGAUAAGGAAAGUCAAGACGAUACCACACUCCGGUACUUAGAAGUUUCGUGGUUACGAGAUCAUUCUCCCACAAUAUUUCCUAAUGUCAUUUGUACUAAAUCAUUCACUUGUACUCCCUAAAGGAGAGCUUGAACCUAUGUACUUGUGUAAACCCUUCACAAUUAAUGAGAACUCCUCUAUUCCGUGGACGUAGCCAAUCUGGGUGAACCACGUACAUCUUGUGUUUGCUUUCCUAUCUCUAUCCAUUUAUAUACUUAUCCACACUAAUGACCGGACCAAUCUAGCGAAGAUCACAAAAAGUGACCGUUUUCGCUACCUAGGAUCUAUCUUGCAAGAGAACGGAGAAUUAGAUGGAGAUCUCAACCAUAAAAUACAAGCUGGAUGGAUGAAGUGUAAGAGUGUAUCCGGCGUGUUGUGUGAUCGUCGUAGGCCACUGAAGCUCAAGGGAAAAUUUUAUAGGACGGCAAUAAGGCCAACGAUGUUGUAUGGCACAGAAUGUUGGGCGGUGAAGCAUCAACACGUACACAAAAUGGGUGUAGCGGAGAUGAGGAUGCUUCGUGGGAUGUAUGGGCACACGAGAAAGGAUAAGAAUGGGAAUGAGGAUAUCCAAGGUAAAGUAGGAGUAGCCAAAAUUGAAGGAAAUAUGAGAGAAAAUCGGUUCCGGUGGUUUGGACAUGUGCAAAGAAGGCCUACUGACGCUCCGGUUCGAAAAUGUGACUACGGGACAGAAGUUCAGGGCCGAAGGGGUAGAGGAAGACCUAGGAAAACUUUGGAAGAGACCCUAAGAAAAGACUUGAUUACUUGGAUCUAACGGAGGACAUGACACAAAACCGAGCGCAAUGGCGUUCUAAGAUUCAUAUAGCCGACCCCACUUAGUGGGAAAAGGCUUUGUUGUUGUUGCUUCCUUUCCCUUUCCGGUCCUUUCUUUAUCAUUUAUUUUUUCUGCUUUCUUCUUUCUUCCUUUCCCUCACCAUGUCGGUACCCAGGCUUCAACCUUCACUGCACGAUCGCACGACCUCGACACCCAGGGCUUCAACCUUCACCGCACGAUCGCACGACCUCCGACCAAGACCUCGACACCCAGGGCUUCAACCUUCACCGCACGAUCGCGGAGCUCAACCUGGACCACCUCAACAAGGUGUUCAUGGCCGUCGGGUUUCUGAAGACAUGAAGACGAAGUGGCCGGUGGCGUUCACGAUCGUGCGAUCGCGGAGCUCAACACGGACUCGCUACUGUGAAUGGAGUACAUGAAGACGAACCGGCCGGUGGCGUUCACAAGGUCGACGGGAGACGGCCUCCAGUUCAAACUUCCUUCGGACGCCAUGCUGGCGUCACCAUGGCAUCAGAUAGGCCGGUCCCAAGGUCUGUCGAUUUUAGGCCGGCCUGUGGACUGGCAUGGGCUGGGUGCCAGUCAAUUGGGUCGGCUAGAGCAAAUUCACUGGGUCCUGGCCUAUUUUUUCGGCUGGGUGCUGGGCAAAAAGUCCUCCAGUGGACUUGCUCUUACUAUAUAGAAUUCAAAAUAAUUAUACGAUUGCCAUUUUUUGUUUACCGGUCAACUGUAUUCCCAACGACCUUACCCGCACAAUCAAUCUUGAUAACCAGGUUUCCACUAACCUCCUUGUACUCGAUUGUGUUCGCAUGCAUGAGCCAAGGUAGGUGCAUUACUAUUUGCAUUCUGAUAAACAACAAUGAUUUUUUAUGAAUAUUGCAGACUAGAAUUUCCAAUCAUUCCCAAGGGAGAACGGUUCAAUCAUAACAUCAUGGGCUAAGAAUACAAUUUCAUGUUUAAGUUUUUCUCCACAUACAUCACGUUAACUUGGUGUUUUUUACUUUCCUAGCAUGUUCCCUUCUGUGCAUUUUCAGCUUUUAAAUAGUGACUUAUUAGUGAAAAAGCAGAUUCACAUGACGAAGACAUAAGUAUAAAAUUACUUGUCACUAAUUCAGUCAUCAAGCUUAAGUCAUCUAUUUUAAUCUUCAAAAUUAACACAAUAAGCUAGAAAAUUCAGUUCAUGAAAAUCUUGCUCAAUGUUGUUUGACUUGUUUCCUUUCUUAAACGUUUAGAUGCUCAUUAAUUAUAUGCUAAUAAAACUUGCUCUUCAUCUUCAAAUGGAUCAUAAUCCAAUAUAGCUCUGUUACCAAUUAACUAGCAUAACUACAAGUCUACAAGACAACUUUGGUAAAUCCGGUGCCGGCAGGAUCAUUUUCUUCUUCUUUGUGUUGUGUGGCUCAGGUUUUUUUUCAGUCUUUUACAAUUUUAAAUUGAUUGUCUCUACAUUAUCUACCAUGACCUACGAACAAUUGAAACAAUCACCCUCCCAAAAUAAUAUGAUCGGUGUUGCAAGGGAUUGUAGCUUAGUUGUUUACAAGCAGAUAUUUUUUUAUUUUUUUUAGUACAUCUUCUUUAUGUUAAGGAAGAGAAGAAGUUUGGCUAAGCCACACAAUGAAUAGCCUAAUUUGAUAUCAAAUUCGUCAUCUACAAUAUUCGAACCUAAGGCCUCUACUUAUAAGUGAGGAGGAAUAUCAUUAGAUCGUAGUACUAGGUGUUGCAAUUAGUCAUUUUUUUGUUGAGAAUAAAUCUCAUAUUAAUGAAAUGAGAGACUUUGUAUGUGCUUAUAAUAAGUAGUUGAGGUACUCUCCCUAUUGUCAAAUUUUUUUUGGUGGAACUUCAACAUUUUUCAUGCUAUCAAAACAAGUUGUCUCAUGUAUGACACAUAAUGGCUUUACGUGAUCCAUAUCUUUCGAGUUGUAUUAUUCACAUGUUAAACUUAAAAUUCGUCAUACGUAACGGAACAUAUUAAGAAUGAAUCUCAUAUUAAAAAAAAAAAAAAGACUUUGAAAUCUCAAGUUUAUUCUAUUUCCAUCCAAAGUUCUAUAUUUGAUUUCCCAUCUCCAAAAUCGUUCCUAUAAAGAAAAAGAAAAAGUAUAACGUACGUGUAGGGCUUUGGAGAUAAGAAAUCAAAUAAAAAGACAACAAUAUGACCCCACGAAAAGUACAGAGGGAAAAGAGGAGUCCUUCUUUGUGGGCAGAAAGGUGCAGACUUGUUAUAAGUCUUUCAACACCUAAUUAUCAAAAGCAAAUUGCAGAGUUCGAGAGUAGUCUGGAUCUGUUGAUUUUUAUAAUCUAUGGAAACAAGUCCCUUCAUCUGAAAACUUGUACGCAGUAAGUUCCUCUUGCAACUAUAUAUGCGAAAUUCAUUAUUUAUUAAUGAAUUAUUUCAUUUUUCUUGAAGUUUGUAUAUUUAAUUAAAGAUUUCAUCAAUAACCAGCUAUAUAAUUUGUGCUGUUUUCAGCCUUGAUUAUUCCAUCAUUCGGUCUGGAUUUGUUGACGAUAAGUGCAAACAAGUGCCCUCAUGACCUGACAGGCUUCCAUGUAACUGCUGCUUGCUUCAGAUCAUGCCCAAUAUUUGUGCAACGGUGCAAGUUUCGAGUCUUGAAGCGUAGGGUUGCAAGAAUUCCCCCCUGCAGUUACGGGUAAUCCCAAAACUGCCCAUUUUUUGUCCAGUUCAAAUUUAAGAAAAAUAAUGUUUACUAGUAUAUGAUUUUUGCAAGCUUGAGUUUUUCUUUUUGCUCGUCUUUUAAAUUUAUAUGGUGUGUUUUAUUGUGCUUUAUUAUUUAUUGUGUUUUAUGUCAUCUCAAAUGACAAGUGAAUCAAAUGUACACAAUUAACAAUUAAUGGGAUAAAUUUAUUAAUUGAUGUGACAUAUCACAUCAAAUUGUACAUAAAUAUGGUACAAACAUAUGUGAUUCCCUUAACAUUUUCGGAUUUUCCUAGUAAUAUUAUAUGGCGUGUUAUUGUGCUUUAUACAUACAAUAUCAAGUUUUUUUUUUUUUUUUUUUUUUGCUUUUUAUUGGAACAUACAAUAUCAAGUUAUUAGGGACUGUAUACCUGGUGGUGGGAAGGUUAUGAUGUAGGCAACCUUGAUCUGAAUCCGGCCCGUUGCCAUCCUUUGCUAUUCCCAAAUUGUUAUCUCUAGAUAUGCUUACUAGGAGUCUCCAUUAAUUGAAUAUUAUUUCAAUUUUACUAUAAAUUUAUAUAGGUAAAUGCUAGGGACAUUAAAUUACUUUAGUCUAAAGUAAGGUUUGAAAUUGGCACUAUUUAAAUGAACAGUGUUUCAAUCCGAAUUUCAGAUUAAUUACAACCAUGCCAUUGGUCUUUGUGUUGGUUUUGGGUCAGCAGCCAGGCCCUCAGCCAUGCCCAAAUGUGUUGGUUUUAGCUGGGAAGCCCCGCCCUCAGUGAGGCCCAAAUUGUUAAUUACAAUUUUGCCCAUCUAAGAUUACAAUCCAAUGGUGGAGAUGGUGUAUUAAGAAGGGCAAUUUUGUCCUCUCCGUUUUGGGCGAGAUAGGGGGUCAUCGGGUAGGUAUCAUUUGCUGUCGUUCAAUUAGGGUUUCAGGGAGGGUCUGAGAGAGAGAGAGAGAGACAGAGAGAGAUGGCGAUGGGAGGAGAGCGAGGGGGAGGGGUAGGGCUCUCGGCACUGUUGUUGCGGAUGGGAGGGUCGGUAUGGUCAGAGAAGACCAUAUGGGUCGUCGGGAUUUCAGGGAGACGGGGUAGGGGUCAUCAACAAACCCUAUUGAGAGUGGGGUGUGCUGGAUCUUGCGCUGCAUGCCUCGAAUCCAAAGAUAAGUUCUUUUUAAAAUUGUAUUCUUUAAUGGUGCCUUAGAUUUUCUAAUUGUUUAGUAUGUUAGGUCCGGUUUUGGGGGAUUUGUGAUUUUACAGAGAGAGAUGGAUAGGGAGAUAGAGAUAGAGAGAGAGAGGAGAUAGCAUGGGUGUGUGCAUUUUUUUGAGUUAAUUAAUGGGUUAGUGCGCAUGUCAGUGAGGAGAGUGACAGAGGGGUGAAUGGCAUUGGCAGGGUAUGGGUUUUCAGUUUUUCCCUCUGAUUCAAUAGGUUAUGCACUGUUUGAAAAUAAAUUGUUUAUUGUUUUGUUUUCCGUUUGCUUUGUUAAAACCAUCAUUCGAAUUUUUCGGUUUCACUGUGCUCAUUUCUGUGCUUCUUCAAAAUUUUCUGGUGUUUGCUUUUCAUUCCUAUGUUGGUUGAUUUUUUUUUUUUCCCAUUUCUUGGUUCCUUAUGUAUUUCUUGGUUCUGUCUAAUUUUUUGCUGUGGGAUGAUGCUUGCAGGUGAACCUGAAAACAGCAUACAAGAUAGAGAACUGGUAUGCUAUUUUGUCUUUCUGUUGGAUUUUGAUGUUUAUGUUCUGCUACUAAGAGGAUUUUAUAGUGUUCUAAAUCUGUUUUGUAAAUGUGCUUAAAGAUUGGACAUGUUCUUGAAUGUUAGCCAUGUUGUUUGAAUUGGAUAUGUGAUUGAAUAUUAGGUAUUUAGUUUGAAUUGAUCUGGAUAUGUGGUUUAUUGAACUAGAAUUUGGAUAUGUGCUGAUUUGAAUUGAGUAUGUUGAAUUAGAGAUGUGCUACUUUGAAUUAAGUUGAAAAAUGGCAAGCCAUGGUAUAUUGAAUGUUUUUUUUUGCCCCAAAUUUACAUAAGUCCCAAAGGGUGAAUGUCGUCCCAAAACUUUACAACAACAACAACAACAAAGCCUUUUCCCACUAAGUGGGGUCGGCUAUAUGAAUCCUAGAACGCCAUUGCGCUCGGUUUUGUAUCAUGUCCUCCGUUAGAUCCAAGUACUCUAAGUCUUUUCUUAGAGUCUCUUCCAAAGUUGUCCUAGGUCUUCCUCUACCCCUUCGGCCUUGAACCUCUGUCCCGUAGUUACAUCUUCGAACCGGAGCGUCAGUCGGCCUUCUUUGCACAUGUUCAAAAUCACCGGAGCCGAUUUUCUCUCAUAUUUCCUACAAUUUCGGCUACUCCUACUUUACCUCAGAUAUCCUAAUUCCCAAUCUUAUCCUUUCUCGUGUGCCCACACAUCCCACGAAGCAUCCUCAUCUCCGCUACACCCAUUUUGUGUACGUGUUGAUGCUUCACCACCCAACAUUCUGUGCCAUACAACAUCGCUAGCCUUAUUGCCGUCCUAUAAAAUUUUCCCUUGAGCUUCAGUGGCCUACGACGGUCACACAACACGCCGGAUGCACUCUUUCCAUCCAGCUCGUAUUCUAUGGUUGAGAUCUCCAUCUAAUUCUCCGUUCUCUUGCAAGAUAGAUCCUAGGUAGCGAAAACGAUCGCUUUUUGUGAUCUUCGCUAGAUUGCUCCGGUCAUUAGUGUGGAUAAGUAUAUAAAUGGAUAGAGAUAGGAAAGCAAAUACAAGAUGUACGUGGUUCACCCAGAUUGGCUACGUCCACGGAAUAGAAGAGUUCUCAUUAAUUGUGAAGGGUUUACACAAGUACAUAGGUUCAAGCUCUCAUUUAGUGAGUACAAGUGAAUGAUUUAGUACAAAUGACAUUAGGAAAUAUUGUGGGAGAAUGAUCUCGUAAUCACGAAACUUCUAAGUAUCGGAGUGUGGUGUCGUCUUGCCUUACCUUAUCUGUCUCAUAGGUAGAUGUGGCAUCUUCUCUGGAAGUACUCUUCCUCCAUCCAGGGGUGGUAUCUUUAACUGGUGGAGAUGCACAAGGUAAUGUAUCAAUUUCACUUGAAGCUUACUUGUAGUUUCAGGCUUGGUCAAGCGCGAUACAAACCAUGUAGUAGGAGUCCCCCAAGUCGCCGAGCUAGGGGGUCUGCUGAAAGAGGUGACAAACAAGGUAAGCAAUCAGAGCUCCGACUGAUUGUUCACCUUCUCCCCAUCUUGCAGCAGCAUGAAGGAUAAAGAGAAGAAAAAUGAGAAGAGAUGAUAUGAGAUACUUUUGCUUUUGAAGAAGUAACUUUCCACAGGCUUAUUCUUGAACUGAGCUGGAGGGUUUUCUGGUUUCCUCCAGAGUAUAAGGCCGACUGAAGAAUUUGAGGGUCAAAACAAGUCCAUCAAAUCUAGAGUACGUUCCACCCUGCUGAUAUGGGAUACUUUUGCUUUUGACAGAGUAAUGAAUGUAUCGGCACGUGUGCUGUUACGCUUGUCUCCACAUGCUUCCUUGUAUCCUUCGCACUUGCCCUAUCUGUUCCUCAAGCAGAUGCGGAAUCUUCCCUGGAAACAUAAGAUGUCGAAGAUGAGUACUCGAGAGCAAUGCCAGGUAAGUAAUCAGGUAAGGGGUUCCAGGCAGUCAGUUCCUGGCUGGAAGCUUGAUUCCAAGUGCUGACUGAUUGCUCUCUUUCUCCUUGUCUUGCAGGUAAAAACAAGGCCAAAAGAAAAGACAGGGAAAAAGCAUGAUAUGGGAUACUCUUGCUUUUAACCCUGAUGAUAUGAGAUAUUCUUGCUCUAGUAUAGCUUGUUUGCAGAGGUAUUAUCGGGGGGAAAGAAAGCUGAAUAUUUCGAAAUGCUUCGUUGGGAGUGCCUUCUCAGAUAUGAUGAAGGGUUGAGCAUUUUUGCAGGUCUGCCUGUCCGUUGGGGAUGGAGGUCGACAUAUAUAGGAGUCUCCCUAAAAACAAGUAGUAAUGCUAUUCCUUUACCCUGCUUGGUCAUAGCACGGUAGUGGGAGCUGCCAGUUUCACAUGUUUUAACUCUGUCAGAGCACUUUGAAAAAGUGGUCUGUGGUAUCUGGCUCUCGAGAUUCGGAGAACGAUGCCUCUUCGAUUUUUGAGAAAGCAAUCAUGCUGGGGGUAUGACUCUCGAGAUUCGGAGAGCAGUGUCUCUUCGAUUUUUGAGGAAGUAAUCAUGUUGGGAGUCUGGCUCUCGAGAUUCGGAGGGCGAUGCCUCUUCGAUUUUGGAGCAAGCAAUCUUGUUGGGAGUGUUGUCUCGAAUGUGAGUAAAGGUUGGGCAUGUUUGCUAGUCUACCUUGCCACGAAGCACAAAGGUUGACACACAGGGACUUUCCAAUUAUCCAGCAAUGGUACUGUUCCUUUACCCUCUCUUCGAUUUUGAGAAAGUAGUCAUGUUGGGAGUCUGGCUCUCGAGAUUCGGAGGACGGUGCCUCUUCGAUUUUGGAGCAAGCAAUCUUAUUGGGAGUGUUUUCUCGAAUGUGAGUAAAGGUUGGGCAUGUUUGCUAGUCUACCUUGCCACGAAGCACAGAGGUUGACACACAGGGACUUUCCAAUUAUCCAGCAGUGGUACUGUUCCUUUACAGUUGUGGGUAAUAAUAUGGUAGCUAGACCUUCAAAAUUUAUGUGUCUAAACUUUUGUUAGUGCUGUUUCUUUGCUAUUCUUUUACCUUUCUUGGUCAGAGCGAUGUAGUGGGAGCUGCAAGCUUCACGUGCUCAACUUUGGCAGAGAACUUUGGCAAAGUUAUUUGUGGUACCCAUGAGCUAUUGUUGCGUGUGGGAAGUGGAUGAUUGAACAGUAAGAUUCAUGUGCUUUCUACUUCACCAGAAGUCUUCGACAGAAUGCCCAUAAUUUCUGCAAAGCUGAGUGUGCGUGUGACAGGUGCUGACAAGGGUAGAAAAGUAGGUGCCUCUUCGAUUUCUGAGAUUGGCCCUCGUGGUCUCUGAGCAGCCCAGCUUUUGAGAAAGCGAGCGCCUCUUCGAUUGAUUCGGAGAACGAUGCCUCAUCGAUUUUUGAGAAAGCAAUCAUGCUGGGGGUCUGGCUCUCGAGAUUCGGGGAGCAGUGUCUCUUCGAUUUUUGAGAAAGUAAUCAUGUUGGGAGUCUGGCUCUCGAGAUUCGGAGGGCGGUGUCUCUUCGAUUUUGGAGCAAGCAAUCUUGUUGGGAGUGUUUUCUCGAAUGUGAGUAAAGGUUGGGCAUGUUUGCUAGUCUACCUUGCCACGAAGCACAGAGGUUGACACACAGGGACUUUCCAAUUAUCCAGCAAUGGUACUGUUCCUUUACCCUCUCUUCGAUUUUUAAGAAAGUAGUCAUGUUGGGAGUCUGGCUCUCGAGAUUCGGAGGACGGUGCCUCUUCGAUUUUGGAGCAAGCAAUCUUAUUGGGAGUGUUUUCUCGAAUGUGAGUAAAGGUUGGGCAUGUUUGAUAGUCUACCUUGCCACGAAGCACAGAGGUUGACACACAGGGACUUUCCAAUUAUCCAGCAGUGGUACUGUUCCUUUACCCUUGUGGGUAAUAAUAUGGUAGCUAGACCUUCAAAAUUUAUGGGUCUAAACUUUGUUAGUGCUGUUUCUUUGCUAUUCUUUUACCCUUCUUGGUCAGAGCGAUGUAGUGGGAGCUGCAAGCUUCACGUGCUCAACUUUGGCAGAGAACUUUGGCAAAGUUAUCUGUGGUACCCAUGAGCUAUUGUUGCGUGUGGGAAGUGGGUGAUUGAACAGUAAGAUUCAUGUGUUUUCUACUUCCCCAGAAGUCUUUGACAGAAUGCCUAUAAUUUCCGCAAAACUGAGUGUGCGUGUGACAGGUGCUGACAAGGCUGGAAAAGGCUGGAAAAGUAGGUGCCUCUUCGAUUUCUGAGAUCGGCCCUCGUGGUCUCUGGGGAGCCCAGCUUUUAAGAAAGCGAGCGUAUCUUCGAUUUUUGAGAUCGGCCAUCGUGGUCUUUGAGCAGCCCAACUUUUGAGAAAGCAAACGCCUCUUCGAUUUCUGAGAUCAACCCUCGUGAUCUCUAAGCAGCCCAGCUUUUGAGAAAGCAAACGCCUCUUCGAUUUCUGAGCAGGCGCCUCUUCGAUUUCUGAAGCUUCGUCGAGUGCAGAUUUUUAUAGGGGCUGGCAUUAAGUUCCAAAGCACACUUGAAUCUCCACCAGUAGAAGCUUCAUUCUUGCACUUCUAAGAUCUUGAUUUUUCCGACCUCUUCUCUCUUCAACACCUUUGAAAAUGUCUGGCCCCUCCGACCGUCGUUUUGACUUGAACCUUGUUGAAGAGGCAGCCCCGCCUUCUCCAGACAACAUAUGGCGCCCAUCCUUCGUUUCCCCUACUGGUCCUCUUACCGUUGGGGAUUCCGUGAUGAAGAAUGAUAUGACCGCUGCGGUGGUGGCCAGGAACCUUCUCACUCCCAAAGAUAACAGACUACUUUCCAAACGGUCUGAUGAGUUAGCUGUUAAGGAUUCGCUGGCUCUCAGUGUUCAGUGUGCAGGUUCUGUGUCUAAUAUGGCCCAACACCUAUUUGCUCGAACCCGCCAAGUUGAAUCAUUGGCGGCUGAAGUGAUGAGUCUCAAACAGGAGAUUAGAGGGCUCAAGCAUGAGAAUAAACAGUUGCACCGGCUCGCACAUGACUAUGCUACAAACAUGAAGAGGAAGCUUGACCAGAUGAAGGAAACUGAUGGUCAGGUUUUACUUGAUCAUCAGAGAUUUGUGGGUUUGUUCCAAAGGCAUUUAUUGCCUUCGUCUUCUGGGGCUGUACCGCGUAAUGAAGCUCCAAAUGAUCAACCUCUGAUGCCUCCUCCUUCUAGGGUUCUGUCCAGUACUGAGGCUCCAAAUGAUCCCCCCCUCCGGUGCCUUCUCUUUCUGGGGCUCUACCUGACUGCUGAGACUUCUCCUAAGCAACCUUUGUGAAGGCUCCCUCUUGUGUGCUUAUUUUGACUCAUGUAUAUGUACAUAUUUGUAGCUUAUCGGGGAUAUCAAUAAAUAAGCUUUCCUUCAUUUCAACGUAUUGUGUUAAAUACACACCAAAGCCUUCUUCGCUAAGUUCUUUGAAUUUUCUUUUGUUAAAGCUUGUAUGUUGAAGCUUUCUGAGUGGAGCAUGUAGGUUGGGGUAGUGUUCCCUUAAUUUCCCGAGUGAGGAAAACUUCUCGGUUGGAGACUUGGAAAAUCCAAGUCACUGAGUGGGAUCGGCUAUAUGAAUCUUAGAACGCCAUUGUGCUCGAUCCUGUGUCAUGUCCUUCGUUAGAUCCAAGUACUCUAAGUCUUUUCUUAGAGUCUCUUCCAAAGUUUUCCUAGGUCUUCCUCUACCCCUUCGGCCCUGAACCUCUGUCCCAUAGUCGCAUCUUCUAAUCGGAACGUCAGUAGGCCUUCUUUGCACAUGUCCAAACCACCGUAACCGAUUUUCUCUCAUCUUUCCUUCAAUUUCGGCUACUCCUACUUUACCCCGGAUAUCCUCAUUCCUAAUCUUAUCCUUUCUCGUGUGCCCACACAUCCAACGAAGCAUCCUCAUCUCCGCUACACCCAUUUUGUGUACGUGUUGAUGUUUCACCGCCCAACAUUCUGUGCCAUACAGCAUCGCCGGCCUUAUUGCCGUCCUAUAAAAUUUUCCCUUGAGCUUCAAUGGCAUACGGCGGUCACACAACACGCCGGAUGCACUCUUCCACUUCAUCCAUCCAGCUUGUAUUCUAUGGUUAAGAUCUCCAUCUAAUUCUCCGUUCUUUUGCAAGAUAGAUCCUAGGUAACGAAAACGGUCACUCUUUGGUAUUUCUUGAUCUCCGAUCCUCACCCCUAACUCGUUUUGGCCUCCAUUUGCACUGAACUUGCACUCCAUAUAUUCUGUCUUUGAUCGGCUUAGGCGAAGACCUUUAGAUUCCAACACUUCUCUCCAAAGGUUAAGCUUUGCAUUUACCCCUUCCUGAGUUUCAUCUAUCAACACUAUAUCGUCUGCGAAAAGCAUACACCAAGGAAUAUCAUCUUGAAUAUGUCCUGUUAACUUAUCCAUUACCAACGCAAAAAGGUAAGGACUUAAGGAUGAGCCUUGAUGUAAUCCUACAGUUAUGGGAAAGCUUUCGGUUUGUCCUUCAUGAGUUCUUACGGCAGUCUUUGCUCCUUCAUACAUAUCCUUUAUAGCUUGGAUAUAUGCUACUCGUACUCCUUUCUUCUCUAAAAUCCUCCAAAGAAUGUCUCUUGGGACCCUAUCAUACGCUUUUUCCAAAUCUAUAAAGACCAUGUGUAAAUCCUUUUUCCCAUCUCUAUAUCUUUCCAUCAAUCUUCGUAAGAGAUAGAUUACCUCCAUGGUUGAGCGCCCUGGCAUGAACCCGAAUUGGUUGUCCGAAACCCGUGUCUCUUGCCUCAAUCUAUGCUCAAUGACUCUCUCCCAGAGCUUCAUUGUAUGACUCAUUAGCUUAAAUACCCCUAUAGUUCAUGCAAUUUUGUACGUCGCCCUUAUUCUUGUAGAUAGGCACCAAAGUGCUCAUUCGCCACUCAUUUGGCAUCUUCUUCGUUUUCAAAAUCCUAUUGAAAAGGUCAGUGAGCCAUGUUUAUACCUGUCUCUCCCAAAAGUUUCCACACUUCGAUUGGUAUAUCGUCUGGGCCUAUUGCUUUUUUAUGCUUCAUCUUCUUCAAAGCUACAACCACUUCUUCCUUUCGGAUUCGACGAUAAAAAGAGUAGUUUCUACACUCUUCUGAGUUACUCAACUCCCCUAAAGAAGCACUCAUUUCAUGUCCUUCAUUGAAAAGAUUAUGAAAAUAACCUCUCCAUCUGUCUUUAACCGCGUUCUCUGUAGCAAGAACAUUUCCAUCCUCAUCCUUGAUGCACCUCACUUGGUUUAGGUCCCUUGUCUUCUUUUCCCUUGCUCUAGAUAGUUUAUAGAUAUCCAACUCUCCUUCUUUGGUAUCUAGUCGUUUAUACAUAUCGUCGUAAGCUGCUAACUUAGCUUCUCUGACAGCUUUCUUCGCCUCUUGCUUCGCUUUUCUAUACCUUUCACCAUUUUCAUCAGUCCUCUCCUUGUAUAAGGCUUUACAACAUUCCUUCUUAGCCUUCACCUUUGUUUGUACCUCCUCAUUCCACCACCAAGAUUCCUUUUGGUGUGGGGCAAAGCCCUUGGACUCUCCUAAUACCUCUUUUGCUACUUUUCGGAUACAACUAGCCAUGGAAUCCCACAUUUGGCUAGCUUCCCCCUCUCUAUCCCACACACAUUGGGUGAUUACCUUCUCUUUGAAAAUGGCUUGUUUUUCUUCUUUUAGAUUCCACCAUCUAGUCCUUGGGCACUUCCAAGUCUUGUUCUUUUGUCUUACUCUUUUGAUAUGUACAUCCCAUCACCAACAAGCGAUGUUGAUUAGCCACGCUCUCUCCUGGUAUAACUUUGCAAUCCUUACAAGUUAUACGAUCCCCUUUCCUCAUUAGAAGAAAAUCUAUUUGUGUUUUUGACGACCCACUCUUGUAGGUGAUCACAUGUUCUUCUCUCUUCUUAAAGAAGGUGUUGGCUAAGAAGAGAUCAUAUGCCAUUGCAAAAUCCAAGAUAGCUUCCCCAUCCUCGUUUCUCUCCCCAAAACCAUGGCCACCAUGAAAACCUCCAUAGUUGCCUGUCUCCCUGCCCACGUGUCCAUUUAAAUCUCCUCCUAUAAAUAACUUCUCCGUCUGAGCAAUUCCUUGCACCAAGUCUCCAAGAUCUUCCCAAAAUUUCUCCUUCGAACUCGUAUCCAACCCUACUUGAGGUGCGUACGCACUAAUCACAUUGAUAAGUUCUUGUCCUAUUACAAUCUUGAUUGCCAUGAUUCUAUCUCCUACCCUCUUGACAUCUACAACAUCUUGUACCAAGGUCUUGUCCACGAUGAUGCCAACACCGUUUCUCGUUCUAUUUGUGCCCGAAUACCAAAGUUUAAACCCUGAGUUUUCUAGAUCCUUUGCCUUACUACCAACCCACUUAGUUUCUUGUAGGCACAUAAUAUUUAUCCUUCUCCUCACCAUAACUUCCACUACUUCCAUAGAUUUUCCCGUUAAGGUUCCUAUAUUCCACGUUCCUAAACGCAUUUUGCUCUCUUGAACUCUACCCUUCUGUCCUAGCUUCUUCACCCUCCCCCGUCUAAUAGGAUCAAAGUACUUCUUUUGUGUGUCCCGGGUAAAGUUGAUAGGAGCAUAUGCUCCCAAACAACUUUGAGUGGAGUCGUUCGAAAAGAAGUUUCUAUAGCCCCCUUGCUCAUUUAACACUGCAUCCGGGUGCCGAUGGAGAUACAGCGACCCUUGCUCACUUAUCACUGUGCUCAGGCCACACAGCGCGCCACUUACGGGUGACGCCCUAGCUUUAGCGCGAUUUUGUUCUGGAUUCAUUUUCAUAAGGAUUCGACGUGAUCAUGGAGUGCCGGCUGUCGACUACCUGACGCCCUCCCCCUCCUCCUUUAUCCGGGCUUGGGACCGGCCAUGUAAGACAUAGGCGGAGUUAUCAACCAAAACUUUAAAAGAAAAUAAUUAGAAAACAUGAUUCAGGAGAGAAAUAACAAGUCCAUCACGUAUUAGAAAAUCAGUUUUGCCCAGUGAUCGAAAUCAUUACAGGAUUAAAAACUAGAAUCCGACUUUGGAAGAACUUCCAUUCUCUUCUAAAACAGCUUCCACCAACGACAAACGUUCUUGCAGAUGUUUAACUGCACAUAGCAAUGGAAAAAGAUAAUAGGUCAGAAGUUAAUAGUUUACACCCAUUUUUCAAACACGGUGGUUGUUUGUUUUGAACCUACACCAGGUUCACCCUGUAUCAGCGGUUUCCCAGUCACACUAGUAUGAACAUUAGAUAUGAGUUUGAUAACACAAAAAACUAGUAGAUUUGUGUAUGCCCCCUUGGGAACUAAUUCUGUGUGGAAUUUUGUUGUAUGGGCUAUGGAGUAAAUACAUGUUGCAUGACGUGACUUGUUCGAGUUCAUUAGAGGGUCGUGGCGAUGCCCAUGGAAAGACAAGCUCAGGUCCUUUCCAUGUUCUUUUGUGAUCUUUGUUUCACAGUUGGAACGGGGGAGGUUUUGAUUCUGUGAUGAUAUUUGGGUUGGGAUUCCUAUUUCAGUGUCAUUUUCUGCCAUCUGUAUAGGAUCUCUUUGCCAUAAUUAAUCACCCCAAAAAAAUUAUUUGCAUUUGAUUCUUUGCAUAAACUUAUCUUAUGAAUAGUUGAGUAUGCUUUAAUGUCAAUACUAAUUUGUCCGUGACUAUGUCUUUGGUUCUCUAUGUUGUGUAUGGACCAGGGAAUUUAAAUUUUAAAGUGCUAUAUAACUUAUGCUAAAAUAUGUUUGGAAUACCCUAGAAAAAUUAGAUAGAGGCUUGAAAGGACUAGAUCCAGUACAUUUGAAAGAGCUCUCAGUACAAGACAACUUUGUUAAGUGUUUUUGUAGUGGUGUUCUAAUAGCAGCUUCGUAGUUUUAGUCUAAUGUUUUUGUUGUACAUUUUUAACAACCGAAUCUAAAAUCCCUCCGUACUUUAAAGUCCCUCCUCCAGACAUCACAUUAGAGAAUUAUAACUAUUCAACAUCCUUGGUGCAUUGGCAGAUUAAUGAUUGUAUCACGGAAUUUUGGCUAAGUUCCUUGAAUUAUUGAACCGUUAAUGCUUUCCAAAUGUUUUACUUUGAUUCAUUGUCUCACAUUUUCCAUGGUACAAGUUUACAUGAUUGCAAGCCGAUAGAAAGAGAUAGAUGUAGGGAGAAGUGGGAAUUGGGGGAGAGAGAGAGUGAGUGAGGGGUGCGGUUGCUUUUUAAAGAUUUCCUUGAAAUUGUUUCUGCAGUUUUUUUUUUUGGGUGGAUUUUCUCGAGUUCUUUCUAUUUGUUUGGAAUUGUUUCAUUUUUACUGAGAUUCUUUUGGUCCCUGUCACUAAACUCUGAUUUCUACUAUUAAUUGCUGCUGAAAUGUGACUUUUGCUAUUAAUUUUGUAAAUUAAUUAAGAUGCUUAAUGUUCCCUUAAUUGUGAUUAAGAUGGUCACAAUCCUACCAUCCUCUGUAUGCUCUGCCAUGUCCGCCGCCAAUGUUUUAUGUUCCGAUUUUUACUUUUUAAUCCUUUCUUACAACAUUUAAAUAAUCAGGUUGAAAUAGUAAUUCUAUUUUUCGACAAACGAUAGGUUAAAUUGUUAGUUGUUAUGAGAGAAGGAGAUCGUUUUAGAGAUCAAACCCGCAUCAAAAUAUAUGAUGAUUUCUGCAAAUGCGAUCAGCAGUUGCAUUUUACAAUAUACAACUUCAGUUAGCAUCAGUUUCUUAAUGAGUGGCAUGUGAAUUCUUAAUUUAAUUUCGGAAAAAAAUGCAUUUAAAUUUGGUGGUAUGUGAUGAACUUAGCAUUCUGUCUUUUAUUAUAUACUGGUGAUGGACAUUUUUAGCAUAUUGGAUUUAUCAUUUUCUAUAAAAUGAAGCUUCAUUCUCGCUAUGUUGUUGAUGUUUUUUUGUGAUUUCAGUUUAUAGUGCUUCUAAAUGCUGUUUUAAUUUAGGAAUUUGAAUAAUUGUUUAAAUGGGAUUGGAGGGUGAUAAAUAUUUCUAGCUAGGGAAAGGUCGCAUCCAUGUGUUGGUCGAAUUGAUGGAUGUAAAAAAUGAAUAUGGCAAGGUGUAAAAAAUGAAUAUGGAUGAACGUUUAGCUACUGCAUGUAGAUUCAGCUUUCCUUUGCAUUUGAGUGAGUUGGAAACCGAGUGGAACAGUUUGAGAGAGGGAGGGACGGAGGGAGAGAGAGAGAGAGGACGAUGUUGGGAUUUUGGUAAAGAUUUGAGCUUUAGUGGUAAGCAUGCUGAUUUGAGCUCACAGAAAAACCCAACAGUAUGUAGAUUGAAUUGAGUUGGGAACUGAGUGGAAAAAUGUUAGAGAGAGGAUUGUGUAUAGUUCUCAAAGCUUCUUACGUUGUUUUCUGAUGCAUCUUUGAGCCACUGGCCUUAGGUGGAGUCUUAUACUGCAAUAUUAUGUGCUAAUCUAAUAAACCCUGCAACUUAUUCGUCUUUGUCAUGAGUAAGUUUUGGUUUUUUUCAUUGGAAUAGGGAUUUAGUGGAUGAUUGUUUUUAACGCAUAUUAGUUAAAAUGAGUUGAGUAUUGGGUGCCAAUCCCAUGUCUGCAAAUCACAGUAGCCUAAGGAAGAAACACUGUCUGCACGAUCUAUAAUACCUAUUCACGCAAGAAUCUUUUCCCAAACUAAAAAGCUUACAUUUCCAAACGUGUAAAGGAUGGGCCACUAUCAUCUUACUUUUUCAAUACCUAAACCAUGCAGUGAUGCAUGGGCUGGAUAUUGCUCCUUUCAAGUUUCAAACCAUUAAAUGCUAAAGAUUUCUGGAUAAAUCAUCGUAGAAGUCGAUUCUACAGAUUCCUUCUUAGUUACACUCAGAUGAUAAUGUAUUUAUUGUCCUUGACAUGUUUUUAAAGUUUGCAUUUUCAAUGUAUAUUUCAUUAACUAAGCUUUAUCAGCGGAAUAUCAUCGCAAAUUUGUUACGGAAAAUGCUAUUGCUAGAUUCUGAUAUAUCUACUUUAGUUUUAAGGAUUACACAUUGUUUUACGAUAUAAAAUAGAUGUUCUGCCUUGAUUUGAUGCGGGGGUAUGCAUUAGCUAACAUUAAUUCUGCUUAGUAUUUCUCAAAUUCAUUUUGGGUUAAAAAGUUGGAGCUUUGGAUCGGGUUUUUUCUUUAUUCAUGUUGGAAGAAUACAUGCAAGUCAUAUCUUGUGUUAAAAUGCAUGCAUGAAAUAAACUUGUUGGAUGACUAGUGAAGUUAGGCUAGUCAACAUUCUUUGUGUAAAAUGCAUGCAUGAAAUAAACAUGUUGGAUGACUAGUGAAGUUAGGCUAGUCAACAUUCUUUGUGUAAGUUAAGCAAGUUAGGCAAGUUAGGCUUAUGUCUACUUUCUUUUCCUAUAUAUAUGUUUCAUUUGUAAUUGUUUCUUCAUGAAAUACACAUAAAAAAUUCUACAUGGUAUCAGAGCAGGUUCAUUUGUAACCUGUCUCUGCCAUUCUUGCUGCUGCAAUUUUUUCUUUCUUUCAAAGUCUAAGUCAUGACUGAAGAAAGUUCUGUGAACCAUGAUGAGGAAACCCGGCACAAUCUCUCUCCAAACUUCUCAGACGUUGAGGUUAACACCAAUCAACGUUUGUGUUCAGUUCUCUUGAACGAGUUCAAUUAUCUUCCUUGGUCCCGAGCUGUUUCACUAGCUCUCGGAGGCAAAGGGAAGUUAGGGUUUGUAAAUGGAAGCGUGGAAGCUCCAGACAGUUCUUCCUCUACAUACAAUGCAUGGCUCUGCAAAGAUCAACUUGUCAUGUCCUUGCUGCUCAAACACCAUGGAGAAACAUGUUGCUGAAAUUUUUAGCUACUCCAAUUCCGCACAUGAUCUUUGGAAAGCUUUGCAGGAUAUGUAUGGAAAUCAAAACAACUAUGCACGGGUCUUCCAAUUAAAGAAGGACAUUGACAGUGCUCAACAAGAAGGGAAAGCAUUUGUUCAACACCUUGGGAGCCUCAAAGCCAUGUGGAAUGAGUUGGAUGUAUAUCUCCCUCAUACCACAGAUCCUACCAUUCUCCUAAAACGAGCUGAGGAAGACAAAAUUUAUCAGCUGUUAGGGAGUUUGAGCUCUGAGUACGAGGACCUAAGGAGUCACAUCUUGAUGAGUCAAGACCUGCCUACCUUCAACAAUGUUUGUGCAACUAUCCAACGAGAAGAAGUAAGGAAGAAGGUUAUGAAUGUUGAUCACAAUCCUAGAUUAACGGAGACUCGGGCAUAUGCAUCAAAGUACAAGAACUCAUAAGCCAAGGUAUACAAGGGAAGAAACACACAUCUAAAAUGCAAAUAUUGCAAUGGUGUUGGUCAUGAGGAAGACAAGUGUUGGGAACUUCAUCCUGAACUCAAGCCUAAGUUCAGCAAAGAUGGAAGGAUGAUACCAAGGUCCUCACAACAAUUUCAAACCUCAUUUCAAGGCACAACUUGCUAAUGCUCACGCUCCUACUAUCUCACAAGGAUCCAUGGAGUUCACUGCCAAUCCAUUGUCAUUAAUCAAUGAAUUUGCAGCUUACCUACAAAGUAAGGGGCACGGAGGAGGCUCAUAUGGUCAAGGCAAUGAAGAGGGUAGUCACACACACAGCUAUGUUGGGACAAUUUGCCGGAUUUCUUGCUGGAAAUGAGAAAGUUCCAAAGGGAGAAGCAUCAGGUAUACUCAAAGCCUUUACUACUGCCCUAUUAACUAGUACUGAAAUUGAUUGUUGGAUAAUUGAUUCAGGCGCCACAGAUCAUAUGACAAACAAAGUUACAAAUUUACAUCAUUUUAAAAAAAUUUCAAGCCCCUCACAUGUGUCUAUUGCAAAUGGAAAAAAUGUCUUAGUUUUGGGAAAAGGAGAAAUAAACUUACUCUCUCAAAAAACACCUUCCACUGCCCUCUAUGUACCAACCUUUCCCUUCCAACUUUUGUCAAUUGGAAAGAUCACCAACACCCCUAAACUGCCGUGCUAUUUUCUCACCAAAUAAAGUAAUGUUUCAGGAUGUUCUCACCAUGAAGAUGAUUGGUGAAGGGGUCUUCAUAAAUGGACUUUACUACCUGUGCAAGAAUGCAUGUUUCACUCAGGCUCUUCAAGCUCAAUCGAAGUCCAUAGAUGAAAACCAACUUUGGCAUAGGAGAUUAGCUCACCCCUCUGAACUUGUCUUGUCGAAACUGUUUCCAAAUUUUUGUAACCCCUAUCCUACUUGUGAUACUUGUCAAUUUUCUAAGUUUACUAGGCUACCUUUUGGUAAUUCAAUGUCUAGGACAAGUAAACCUUUUGAAAUGGUACACACCGAUGUAUGGGGACCUGCAACUGAAUCAAUGGAAGGUUUUAAAUAUUUUGUUCUAUUUGUUGAUGAUUUCUCUCGAACAAGUUUUCUAUAUCUUAUGAAAUCAAAAAGUGAAGUCCCUACCAUUUUCAAAGACUUUCACAUGCAUGUUAAAACGCAAUUUCAAUCAAACAUUAAGGUUUUAAGGUCAGAUAAUGGCACUGAAUUUCUAUCCAACAACAUGCUUCAAUACAUAAGUUCUCAGGGUAUCAUACAUCAAACCAGCUGUGUGGGGACUCCCCAACAAAAUGGAGUAGCCGAGAGGAAAAAUAGAGAUCUCUUGGAAAAAACUCGUGCUCUCAUGAUUCACAUGCACGUUCCAAAGAAAUUUUGGUCGUUUGCCAUCCUUACUGCCACUUAUCUCAUCAAUCGACUUCCAAGUCGUGUGCUAGGGUUUAAAUCUCCUUAUGAAGUUCUCAAGGGGAGGAAAAUAGAUUUGACACAUCUCAAGGUGUUUGGUUGUGUGUGUUUUGUUCACAUCCAAACCUUGAACCGUGACAAAACUAGAUGCCAGGGCAACCAAGUGUGUGUUUAUGGGAUACUCGACCACUCAAAAGGGAUACAAGUGCUUCAAUCCAGUCACUAAGAAGUGCACAGUUUCAAGAGAUGUGAAGUUCGAAGAAGACUAUCCCUAUUUUACAAGUCAGGGGGAGGAUUUAGUUGACAUGUUCCCACUCCCUCAAAACUUUAAUUAUCCGAUGUUGGAAAAGAGAUCAGUCAUUGUAAGUCCAGAUUGUGAAGAAGUUCAAACUGACCAAAUUACUGCCAGUGAAAGUGAAGACGAGCCCUACUCUGAUCCUUCUCCGCCCUCUACAGAGUCUCAGGUGAUUAAAAGAAAUCCUCCUCGAAUCAGAAAACCUCCAGCUAGGUUGCAGGACUAUGUUACAUAUGCCUCACGACAUCCAAUCAAUGAAUGUAUCAGCUUUAGUAAGUUCUCAACAUCUCAUGCUGCAUUUCUCAGUGAAAUUGAUAAGCACUAUGAACCAAGAAGCUUUCAAGAAGCUUCUCUUCUCCCACAAUGGAACCAAGCCAUGAAAGAAGAGAUUCGUGCACUGGAAGAGAAUUGCACCUGGAGCCUAGUUCAACUACCACCAGGAAAAAAGGCUGUUGGAAGUCGUUGGAUUUACAAGACUAAAUUCAAAGCUGAUGGAUCUAUCGAGAGACACAAGGCUAGACUUGUUGCUCGAGGUUUCACCCAAACCUUUGGUGUAGAUUAUAAGGAAACAUUCGCACCGGUGGCCAAGAUGAACUCAGUCAGGGUUUUACUGUCAGUUGCAAUCAAUUGUGGAUGGUCACUCUACCAAAUGGACGUGAAGAAUGUUUCCUUCACGGCGAGCUGCAGGAAGAAGUGUAUAUGCAACCUCCUCCAGGCUAUGAUGGUAUUAAAGGCAACAUGGUUUGUAAAUUGCACAAGGCAAUAUACGGAUUGAAACAAUCACCAAGAGCUUGGUAUGCCAAGCUCAGUUCUGUUCUGGAAAAGGCUGGAUUCAUGCGAAGUAAUGCUGAUUCUUCGUUAUUUGUAAGAACUGGCACCAGGGGGAAGUUGGUGGUCCUCGUCUAUGUUGAUGAUCUUAUCAUCACUGUAGAUAAUACCGUGGAGAUUGAGGCACUAAAACUCUCACUACAUCAAGCUUUCGCUAUCAAAGAUUUGGGGAGGUUAAAGUAUUUUUUGGGGAUCGAAAUGGCAACAUCUUCAAAAGGACUGUUUCUACAUCAACGGAAAUAUGUAUUGGACCUCCUUCAAGAAGCAAAAAUGCUUGACUGCAAGCCUGUUAUCACUCCCGUUGAUUGUAAACUGAAGCUCAGCAUAGAUGGAGAAGCCAUGCAUGAUGUAAGCUACUAUCAACGAUUAGUAGGCAAGCUCAUAUACCUCACUAUCACUCGUCCAGAUAUCACAUAUGCAGUGAGCUUGGCUAGUCAGUUCAUGCACUCUCCCACUGUUGAUCACCUUAACCUUGUUAAGAGAAUCCUUCGUUAUCUUAAGGGUUCAAUUGGGCAAGGAAUUACAAUGCAUAACAAUCAGUCCACUGUCAUUAGUGGCUACACAGAUGCAGACUGGGCAGGUAAUGCAAUUGAUAGGAAAUCAAUCACAGGCUAUUGUACAUUUGUUGGUGGAAACCUUGUCACAUGGAAGAGUAAGAAGCAACAGGUAAUUGCUCGUUCCAGCGCAGAGGCUGAGUAUCGAGCCAUGGCAGCCACUGCGUGUGAACUCAUUUGGCUUAAAGGGCUUCUUUCAGACUUAGGGUUUCCUAGUUCUACUCCUAUGAUGCUUAUGUGUGAUAAUCAGGCAGCCAUGCAUAUUGCUGCCAAUCCUGUGUUCCAUGAAAGAACCAAACAUAUUGAAGUGGAUUGUCAUUUCAUCAGAGCUCAAGUUCAAACGCAAAUCAUCCGGACCAUGUUCACACGAAGCCAUGAUCAACUAGCAGAUCUUUUUACAAAGGCACUAGCAUCAUCUCAGUUUCAUCGGUUAUUGGGCAAGCUUGGCUCAGUGAAUCCCCUCGAUCCAGCUUGAGGGGGAGUGUUGGAAGAAUACAUGCAAGUCAUAUCUUGUGUUAAAAUGCAUGCAUGAAAUAAACAUGUUGGAUGACUAGUGAAGUUAGGCUAGUCAACAUUCUUUGUGUAAAAUGCAUGCAUGAAAUAAACAUGUUGGAUGACUAGUGAAGUUAGGCUAGUCAACAUUCUUUGUGUAAGUUAAGCAAGUUAGGCAAGUUAGGCAAGUUAGGCUUAUGUCUACUUUCUUUUCCUAUAUAUAUGUUUCAUUUGUAAUUGUUUCUUCAUGAAAUACACAUCAAAAAUUCUACAAUUCAGCUAUCAUUUUCUGCUUAGGAGACUCUCUUAAACUGUGUGAAACUGUGCUCAUUAGGCUGGGCAGAGCAAUGACAAGCUAAAAACAAAACAAAAACAAGCAGAAUUAUCACAUGUAGUGCAGGAUAAAUUCUAAACGACCCAAAUCUGGAUGGUAAAAUACUUGGAGUUGGAAUUAAUAGGAUCGAUUGAAACAUGGAUUUUUUUUUUAUUAGAUUGGUAUAUCUGACUUAAUUAAGAAGUUGUUUAAGACACAGUCAUUAGGGAAUUUCUGUAAUUGAACGUAGUUGUUUUCAUGAGGUUAAAUACAAUAAGGUGAUUCUAUGCCAAGAAGUGAUUUUAUAUGGACACAUUGUAUGAUGUAAAAUGGUAAAAGGAGUACCUGUUCCUGUCCAGCCUUAUGUUUUCUGAGUCUUGCUUAUUUUUCAUUAGUCAUAUGAAAGAUGCUGCAAUAUCGUGGGAUCAAAAUAGCUAAGAAACUGGACGUGGACAUCUUUAUUCUAUAGAGCGUAUGUAAAAGUAAUUUAGACUUUAUUAGUUUAUAUUAAUCCUUCACUUCUGUUCAUAUAUUGUAAUUUCUAUAUGGUUUGUCCACAUUUGUCUUAGGAGACUCUGGGGCUGCUUAAAUUUUAUAUAUUCAGUUGCAUAGAGUCGGCAUGACAUGCACAGCGAUUGUCAGAUUGCCACCCUUAGUUGGUGAUAUUUUCUUUACAACACAUUCAAAUUGAGGAUUUAGAAAAUCUAAUAAUAAAACUCAAACAUAUGUUCGAUGCUUUUUGUUUUCAUUUUCGGUUAAAAGGUUUCAGCUUUGGAUUGGGAUUUACCUUUAUUAAUCUAUAAUUUUGUGCUCAGGACACCAUCUUGGGGGUCUUAACAUGAUUGUUCUUCUAUUUCAUAGACUCAAAACGUGUCUAGUGUUUCAUUGAAUUGGUAUACCUUUGCUCAUUUAACUCAAAUUUAAUACGGUUUGGUCCUCCAAUUUCUCUAAAUUGCCAACGGAUUUAUUUUCUUUGGAAAUUUCAGGAACUCUGGUUGUGGUAGGAACAAGCCGGCUCCUUGCUAUUUUUAGGUAUAUGAUUAUGUGCCCUGAUUGCAUGUUCAAAGUCUAAUUAGUUAUAUAAACUUUUAAUUUAUCUUUGCAAAGCUUUUGUACUUGGAUUUUAGUUUAGAUAUGCGAUUUGUUUGUGAAAAAUUAACGAGAAGACUAAUCAUGGGGACAUUCUUAUUUCUGAAAUUUUCUCUUCAGCAUUGUUUCUUGAAUAAAUUUGGAUUGGUAGAUGUAGGGGUAGAGUAACCCCCGUGGUGUAAAUAAAAGGUAUAGGCGUAAUGAUUUCUAGGUUUAGAAUUCAUUGAAAAAUAUGAUAUAAUGCUGCGUUCUCUAAUAUUUUUUUUUUUUUUGGCUGUUUGCUGUUCUAAACUUUUGAACUCCUUUUUGGAUUGAUCUUUGUUAUUUUUGUUUUUGGGGGUAUCUGAUUGGUCAAGGUUGCCCAAUCUUGGUUGUACUUUUUCCCAAGACAGGGCACAUUUGAAACUUUGAAUUCUUGAGUUUAUAUUUUAAUUCUCAUUAGUUAAUGCUUAAUAUUUGGCCUUUUAUUUUGAGAUUAGAAUGAAUACGUUUGGCCUGAAAGACAGUAAACUGAAUUAAAAGCUGGCUUAUUUUCCAUUGGCCAUCAAUUAGGGUGAGAAAACAUUGAAUUGAGAUCAUUAAACAGCACUUAUAUAGGGCACUAUACCAAAUGAGCUCGAAGAGGACUCAGCAAUUGAAGAACAAUUGAUGGCAUACACCUUGGACAUGAUUAAGUUAGUUGAACAUUAUACUAUAACAAGUACAUAUUUCUGGAGUCAGUUUCACACGCAGACACGCACACACACAUCUGACGUAAAGUUAGUCUAUUAGAUGGUUUCCAGAUUGACCCCCCCUUGCCAAAUCUAUUUCAAGGCUGGAAGGAGAGUUAAAACAUAUGUUAUUGUCUUAUAUGUUUGUAUUUGAAUGGUAACGAUGUUGUUCUUCUGGUGGAAAAUUUUUCCUUUGAAUCCAUUUCAGCUUAGGCUCUACUUUUUUUUUUUUCAUUUCAGCUUCAUUUUCAUGUUCAUCAUGUCCUGUUGGUAUGUGUUUUGUGUUGGCAUUGGAGGGUGGUGGGUUGUCGUUUUGUUUUUCUUUUCUCUGAUUGUAAGACCUUCUAACGAUUGAAUUUAUUUUAUGCUGAAACACUCAUUUUGAUCCCCUAGUUUGAGUUUUUCAGUUACGUAUCAAUACUUAACUGCUGGAUUUUUCUUAAGGAAAUUGGAUAUAGGCUAUAUACUAUGUGUAAAAGUCAUGGAGAUCAAGUUUUGUGCUUUCAUUUGUCACAAUGCAGUUUUUUGUUUUCAUAAAUCAAGUUUUGUGCUUUCAUUUUUCUUUUAAAUUUUAAUUUGUCUUUCAAUCAGUUUUUUGUUUGAGAGAACUCUUAAUUUUCAUGGAAAUAUAGUUAUUUGUGAAUAUGGAAACUUGAAUCUGUGUAGACAUCAGAGUUCUUAUGGUUGUGAUAUGAAAUUUAAAUACAAACUUCCCAAUUUGUUUUUGGAAUUUUAACUAAACUUGCGUUGUAGGUAGAUCAUGCUAUUAAGAUAACAAAAAAAUAGGUAGAUUUGUGUAUGCAAUGAGUUGUAGUGAACAUUUGGCAGUAAUAGAAAUGGUUUAGGUGUGCACAGUUUUGGCCUAAAUGGUUAUCACACGAGCGUAAAUGUUUGUUUCAUUUGUGAUUGAACUCGAAUUUGUUGGAAAGCUUUUCAAUUUAUGAAUAUGGAAAGCUUUUCGUCUUUACUUCUAAACUUAUUUUCUGCUUGGUUGUUGAGAAGGUGAUGGAAAUAUAGUUAUCUGUUAAUAUGGAAACUUGAAUCUGUGUAGACUCCUUGGGUUGUCUGUUGUGUUCAGUGGAGGUUUAGUGUUUUAAUUUUGAAUGAUUUGUUUUUCGUUUCAUGGAAAUGACCUAUUAUUUGAUUUAAUUGAGUAAUUUAAUGGAAGUAUAUUCUCUUUUUUUUCUUUUCCAUAUUUCGUUUUGUCUGCAACCAAACAGGGUAAGGAACUGUAAUCUUUUUAAUUACUCUGCUAUCUCCGUGAGUUAUGAAAAUCAGACCUUUUGUUUUAUUUCUGUAUAUGUAGUUCCGAAGGAAUCAAGUGCCAAAAUUAGAAUAAACAUCCUUUAGUCAAGUUACGCACUUUUCCAUAGAAUGUUUGGUUUAGGGAUCCCUUAUACAAGCACAAUAUUCUUAUGUAUUUAAAUCGUAGUUGACCGUCAUGGUUUAAUAAGUGUGAAAACUGUCUUUAAGUCUUAACUAUACCAUUGGAGCGAUACAGUUUUAGUUAUUUUAUUGGAUCCGUUUGUUAGCGCUUUGAAUUCUUACUCUGAAUCUCACUCAUUUUUUGCAGUUUAGAUUGGACUCUCAUCACGGCAUUGUAAUCUGCUCUUGCUGCUGCGAUUAAUCUAACGGUUCUGAGGCGUUGCAUUUGAAUCAAGACUUCGGUAUGCUAGCUGAACUUAAAUGCAUUCUUUUCCCAUUCUUUCCGUUUGAGGCAGCGCAACUUUAUGAUCUUUUAUAUUGAUUGUUUGGUUUGAUCACCUUUUGUUAUUCGUUUGCUUUAUGCUUUGUUUUUCAUUCUUGGUUGUCUCUGUGAUUGUCUCAUUGUCCAGAGGUCGGAUGGUUAGUUUUUUAUUUUUUUUGUUCUAAUUUUGUUUGUGCAAUUCCGUUAUUGUUUGAAGGCCCGUUGCUAUCUCUGUGAUUCUGGUUUAACCCGGUGCUCUUAAUUCUUUAUCGGAUGUUGUUGGUCAUUUUAUCUCUUUUAUUUUGUAUUGGUUGGUUGGUGUUUUCGUUUGGUUUUCUGAUGGUGAACUAUCUCAUCCUCCCCGAAGUGUUUUAACAUGUUUUGUUGAUAAUUGCGCUCUCUAAACGAACUCGACAUUUUUUUAGAAAAAUCACAACUUCCAUAUUUAAGAAAAUGUGUGGCUUUUUAGCAAUGCAUGAAUGCAGCUAAGAUGUUCUGAAAAAUUCAUGGAUAUUUUACAUUCAAACCACAAGUAUCAUUAACUUAUAAAUAAUUAAGUUAUGUAUUUUCUUUAUCGGCUAUCACUUCAAAAUUUGAACUAAAACACUGUCAAAAAGCUUUUUGGUUGUGUUUUCCUUAUUCAUUAUGUAAGUUUCGCAAAUCUUCUACAUGCUGCAUAUUUUUUUGUUUGAACAUCUAUGGUUGACGAGUUACCUGCUCAAACGCCACUUUUUCUGUGUUUUGCUAACUGCUAAGUGAGUUAUGUAGGUUGCAAAGCAUAUAUUUGGCCGUCUUAACUGCAGGGGCAAAAUAUGUGUGAAUUGCAGCUUCCUUCUGUUUCUACAGUUUCAUAUAUGGAAACAGGCCUUCUGUUUUUUUUUUUUUUUUUGCCUUUGAACAAUUAUGGUUCCAAAAUUAGCUACUUGAACAAGUCCUCAACACUUUCUGCUUUAAAUUACCUGUUGAACUAGCUGCCUACACUGCAGGACACAUGUUAUGUGUGAACUAAAUGUUUCUUCUUUUUCUUAAGCAAACGGAAAUUGUUUGGAAACCAUCUCUUUCUAAUCAAACACGUACAGUUUCUUCCCACUCAUUGUGCAUUGUGUUUAUAUGCCAACUCACUUAAAUAUGUAUAACAGCACAAUUGCUUAUCUUAUUGGGCUCAUUCACUCAUGUAUCCCUCUGUUUGUUUGUAAUUGUGUUGAAUUUAUUCAACUUAAAUGUGUUUUAUCCAUCCGAUUACGUCUGAAACAGUGGUUCCCGCAGCAGCGUGCGGGCGUAUUUUCUAGUUUUUAACAAAAUUUUGCAAACUAAAUGACACGAUUGUUGAUGAGUGGAUUAUUAUUUUAGUGUUGAUUAACAUGCUUAUUUUAUUGUGGUGACACAUCAUUUAGUUUGCAAAUUUAGUCUCCUUGUCAUUACCUAUUUGUGUAUGAUGGCGGAGGCAUCAAUAAUUAGUUCUCACCAUUUGAAUUUGUGCAAUUGUGACAACAGAUCAAGCUUCCAAAUCUCCAAGGAACUAGUCUUUGACUGUUGAUCUUCCCUUCGUCGAGUCUGUAUUUGUUGAUCAUAAGCGGAGUCAGAUUUGAACUUCCCUGUAAGUUCUUAUUAUUCACUGAAUAAUACAUUAGUUGUUUCUCAUUUUAUUUGAACUACUUUUUAUUCAUUUGUUUCUUCACUUAAUUUGUGCAGCUCUUCACCUCAAUAUUGCUCAAGAACGCUUCCUUAUUUCUUUGGUUGCUUGGAGUUCUCAGCGCUCCUAAGAUGCCACUUGGAGAGGUUUUUCUUGCGGCGUUUCUACAGUUGCUGCUUGACAGGUUGACCCCUCGCGACAUUCUCAACUACUUUGGAAACUUCCGGGGUGUUGGAAAGAAGCUGGAGAAGUGGAGGGCCACGUUAACUACAAUCGCAGCAGUGCUGAGCGACGCCGAUGAAAGACAACGGACUGACGAUGCUGUAAAACUAUGGCUCAAUAAUCUCAGAGACCUUGCUUAUGAUGUCGAAGACAUGUUGGACAAAUUUGCGACUCAAAUGUUGAAGCGCACGAUAGAGGGACGUGAUCAAGCCAGCACGAGCAACAAGGUGCGAAACUCACUUUUCAAAAUUAAAUUGAAUUGGAAUAUGAACUCCGAAAUGAAGAAGAUUACGGAGCGGUUACAAGACAUAUCUGACCGAAAAGUUAAGUUUAGCUUGAAAGAUACUGGGACGUCUGCUAAGGAAUCGCGAAGUCUACCAUGUUCAGGCGUGUUAGAUGAAAAGCUUCUUGUUGGAAGAGAUGGUGACAAAGGGAAGAUUAUUGAAUUGUUGAAAAAGUCUACCAAUUUUGGUGUGGUUGCUAUAGUUGGCAUGCCCGGAGUUGGGAAGACGACACUUGCUCAACUUGUAUUCAACAACAAAGAUGAUGCCAUGAAGGAGUUUGAGCUCAAGGUCUGGGUAUCUGUGUCCGAUGACUUCGAUGUUGUGCGAGUGACAAAGGCAAUUCUUGAAUCAAUGAAACCCCUACCCGUUCAAGUGGAGGAGUUUAGUAAAAUGCAGCAUGAUUUGAGUGAGCAAUUAAGAGGAAAAAAGUUUUUAAUCGUUUUAGAUGAUGUUUGGAACAAAGGUGACCGUGAUCUAAACGAUCUCUGGUUAAGACUUAAAUCCCCUUUUGGCGUCGGAGCAGGAGGAAGUAAGAUUAUUGUGACAACCCGUGAUUUAAAUGUUGCAAAGAUUAUGGGAGCCACUGGAUUUCAUAAUUUGGAAUGUAUGGCAAAUGAUGAUUGUUUGGAAAUAUUUGAGCGACAUGCAUUCGGGGAAGUUAAUAGUGGAAAACCAGUAAAUUAUGAGUUAAUUCGGACAAAAAUUGUUGAAAAAUGUUGUGGCUUACCAUUAGCUGCGAGGACUCUCGGUGGUCUUUUACGUUGCAAAGAAACAGAUGAGUGGGGAGAAAUAUUGGACAACAAACUAUGGAAUCUCGCAGAUAACUGUAACCUUCCCCGCGUACUAGAGUUGAGCUAUCACUAUCUUCCAUCACAUUUGAAGAGGUGUUUUGCCUAUUGCUCAAUACUUCCAAAUGACUACGAAUUUGGGGAGAAGCAGCUCGUCCUUUUGUGGAUGGCAGAGGGUUUGAUUCAACAAAAACCUGACAACAAUAAACAAAUGGAGGAUUUGGGCCGCGACUACUUUCGAGAGCUAUUAGCAAGGUCGCUGUUUCAAGAAUCAAGCAAAAACAAUUCACGAUAUGUAAUGCAUGACCUCGUUUCUGAGUUAACACGAUGGGCUGCAGGAGAAAUAUGUUUUAGGUUGGAAGAUAAGCAAGGUGAUAACUUGCAAAGCACUUGCUUUCGAGGGGCUCGCCAUUCGUCUUUCAUUGCUGGUGAAUUUGAUGGAGUUAAGAGAUUUGAGGACUUUCCAAAAGCUGAACGUUUGCGAACAUUCCUGCCACUUUCGCUUUCAUAUUCCACGGGAUGGUUAAAAUUUUUGUCUCGUCAGGUUACUUUUAAGCUAUUACCACAGUUGCAAUACUUACGAGUGCUCUCGUUCAAUGACUACAAAAUAACUGCGCUGCCAGAGUCAAUCGGUGAUUUGAGGUUGUUACAGUAUCUUGACCUUUCCUACACAUAUAUAACUAGUUUGCCUAAAUCGAUAAGUACUCUUUACAACUUGCAGACAUUGAUAUUGGAACACUGUUACUAUUUGAAGUCAUUGCUUGCGGACAUGAGUAAUUUAAUUAAUUUGCGCCAUCUCAACAACUCAUAUGUAUCUUCGUUGGAAGGAAUGCCUCCAAAUCUAGGUAGCUUGGUGAAUCUCCAAUCUUUGCCUAAUUUUGUGGUCAGUGGUGGAAGUGAUCAAUCAGGAAUAAGAGAGAUAGGGCCCCUAUCGCAUCUCCGAGGGACAUUGUGCAUCUCAGGAUUGGAGAAUGUGACUGAUGUCGAGGAUGCCAGGAGGGCCAACUUGAAAUGCAAGGAGAGGCUUGAUUCGUUGGUCCUAAAAUGGUCUCAUUCAAGCGACACGAGAGAAACGGAAUCCGUUGUGCUUGACAUGUUAGAGCCUCAUACAAAGCUCAAGGAGCUCACCAUCAAGAGUUAUGCCGGAGAGGAAUUUUCAUCAUGGGUUGGAGGUCCUUUGUUCUCUAAUAUGGUGCUUGUGUGCUUACAGAAAUGUAACAAUUGUUUAUCGUUGCCUCCUCUCGGACAAUUGCCUCAUCUCAGGGAACUUUAUAUUAGUGGAAUGAAUGCAGUGGAAAGUGUUGGUGCUGAGUUUUAUGGAGAGCGUAUGUUGCCUUUUCCGGUAUUAGAGACUCUUGAGUUUGUGGAAAUGCAGCAUUGGAAGGAAUGGCUUCCUUUCCAAGCCGAUCACGAAGGUGGUGCUUUCCCUUGCUUGAAAACACUCUUAGUAAAAAAAUGUUCUAAACUGGAGGGUAAACUGCCAGAGAAC
Molecule: long non-coding RNA, 65508 nt
Filed under: Malus domestica (apple)
Lineage: Eukaryota; Viridiplantae; Streptophyta; Magnoliopsida; Rosales; Rosaceae
Description: long non-coding RNA (MDOM_LNC009890)
Source: RNAcentral